UCGAAUCUUCAUUGUUGAGUUAACGUUUGUCAAAUGGAACUCAAACUUCAUGUACAACCACAUAAACUGUUUAAGGCACGAAUAUAAAUUGAAAACAAAUUUGGAAAAUUUCGUUACCUUAUUCUCCAAAACAGAUUUGGACAAAUUCAAGGAUUUUACACAAGGUAAAUCAAGAGAAUAACAAAUCACGCUUCUUUUCGUAAUGACUUUAUCAACCACAAUCGAAGAGUAACAAUUAAUCGGAUCAAAAUGAGGGGAUCUUUUAAGAACUAAGUCACCAAAAGUUUUAUCAAUAAUUUUCAAAUCUGCACUGGACUCGGUUUCUAAAAUUUCCUUACCUCGCUUACCUUCGGGAUCAUGUAGUGUGAUUUCAUCUUUACUUAAGUUGAUCGUAUGAAAGCGUCUUUCAUUUGAGAGGUAUUGAAGUUGAAAGUUAUCUUUCGAUCUUUCGGGAACCUGAAAAGUAGCAACACAAGAAAAAUUCAUAUCUUGGUUAGUGGAAACAUUCCUCACUACCCUUUCCACGUCUUUUUCUUUUGUUUCUUUUUCUAAUUCAUUUUCUCUUCUUUCUUCAAUUUCUUUUUCACUCUCAAUCUCUUUUUUCUCUUUUUCAUUCUCUUUUUCUUUUUCCUCACUUGUUUUAACAGAAUUUUUCAGUUUGCUUUGGUCCUCAUGGACUUGUUCUAGAGCGAGCGGCACGAAGGUGAGUUUCUUUCCUUGAUGCUUGAAAGAAUACCUAUUGGUACGACCAUCGUGAGUGACUUUUCGAUCCAGUUGCCACGGUUCUCCUAGCAACAAAUGGCAGGCUUGAAUAGGCAUUACGUCGCACACAACUUCGUCUUGAUACUUACCGAUAGAAAAGGCGAUGCGCACUUGUUGAGUGACCCUAAAUUGGCCUUCGUUGCUAAGCCCUUGUAGUUGAUAAGGUUGUGGAUGCUUGGUAGUGGUUAAGCAAAGCUUUUCCACCAUCGUCGUGCUGGCUAUGUUCGAGCAACUUUCACCAUCAAUAAUAACUCUACAAAGCUUACCUUGUACGUGGCAGCGAGUAUGAAAGAUAUGUUCUCGUUGCUGCUCGCUCUUUGGUUUUGCCAAAGAUGAUUGUCCAUGAUCAUGACAAUCAUCAUCCAUUCUAGGGACACGUUGAGGGUUGCACCUAUGGGGCUGGUUAUCCCUAUCUUCCUUAAUUGGAUCUCGAUAUUGCCAAAGACGAGGUCGAGUGGUAAAGGCAAGAGAGCGUGAGUUCAUUCGAAAAAAAAGCCUAAAAGAGAGUUCAAACACGAGUGAGUGAAUUUUUCUUUUUGAGCGAACUUGAGAGAUUUGUGGUGAGAAUUAUUUUUCUUUCUAAUUUAACUUUUGUUUUCUAAUAUUUUGUUGAAGCAUGUCUGAAGAAUUUUCUGAAUUUGAAUUCCAAAUGUGGAGACAAGAAAUGCAAAGGAUAAUGCGAUCUGAAUUUCGACAAUUCGACAAAGAUAAAGAAGAUUUGACAUCUACUAUCGUUGACAUCAAGAUUAGUGCAAUCCUUCAAAGAUUGGAAAAUGAACCACAAUGUGAAGAUAUGUUUCACACGCGUUGCCGUGUCCACGAUAAAGUUUGUUGCCUCAUUAUUGAUGGUGGAAGUAGGUCAAACAUGGCUAGUAUUCGAACGGUAAAAAAACUUGGCUUGGCCACUACCAAGCAUCCACGACCCUAUCAACUGCAAGGACUUGGUGUUGAAGGCAAAUUUGAAGUUACUCAACAAGUGCGUGUUGCAUUUUCCAUCGGAAGAUACCAAGACGAAGUCCUUUGUGAUGUUGUGCCUAUUCAAGUUUGCCAUUUGUUGCUAGGAGAACCAUGGUAAUCGGAUCGCAAGGUCAUUCACGAUGAACGUACCAAUAGGUAUUCCUUCAAGCAUCAAGGAAGGAAAAUCACUUUAGCUCCGCUCACACCGGAACAAGUGCAAGAAGACCAAUUCAAAAUGAAGCAAUCCAUUGAGCAAGAAAAGGAGAAAGAGAUUGAAAAAGAAAUUGAAAGAAAACAAAAAGAAAACGAAGAAGAAAAAGAAAUUGCAAAAGAAAAAGAAAUCGAAAAAGUGAGAGAAAAAGAAAAUGAAGAAAAGAAAAUUGAAAAAGAAAAAGCGAAAAAAGAAAUUGAAAGAGAGCUUGAAAAGAAAUCAAGUGAAAAAGAAAGAGAGUCUGUAAAAGAAACGAGUGAAGUGAGUAAUCACAAAAAAGAGAGGAAUUUUUUUGCUAACCCCUUUCGAAAUUACCUUGUGAUUUUUCUUUGUUUCAGGUUUGCAAGAUUCCAUCCACGGAUUGGUUCCAACUUCAUUACCUUUCCACCGAGAGACGUUUUCAAUUGAUUGAAAGAGGUAAGUUGGAAGAUAAAAAUGAUUGUCACAUUUCCAAUGGUAAGAAAGGUAAGGGUUCCUUAUUGAGCGAGUUUCAACUCAUUUACUCACAUGUUUAUGACAAGAUUACUGAAAAUUGUUUUUGUGAAAGGGUUUUUCCCAUUGAAUUGGUUCAUUUUCGUUCAUCUAUUAUUUAUGAUUUUGUUUCAACUAGUGCUUUGAAAAGUUUUUUCUAUGAUAAGUUUGUUGCUGGCAAUUUUAUUGAAGGCGUUCGAUUAGAUCAGCAUGAACAAAGUGUGAUAGUGUGCGAUAAAGAUUAUUCACAUACAAAGUUCGAUUUGUUUGAUUAUCAUAUUCUGAAUGAUGGUGAUUACACCUUCCAUAGUGGUAAGAAGUGUUUUCCUAUUGAUGAGUAUGGUAUUGGCAAGAAUUUUACUAAAGUACGAAUAAAUCCGCACAAACAAAUUUUGAACUCUUGUGAUAAAAAGUUGGCAUGUGAAACGCCUAGUCUACUUGUGUGUGGUGAUAAUUUGAAUUUUCUAUUUUUUUGCGUAAAUUCCCCAUGUUUGAACAAGUCUAUUCGAAUGAGAUUUACGAUGUAUGAAUGUUUGAACAUAUGCAUGCUCAAAUUCUUUUUGUUCCACUUGUGUGAAUUGUUGGUAAUUAAGAAAUUCACACUGCAUUUUGGAACGAGUGAACAAUAUCGUGUGUUCAACCCUGGAGUUCGCUAUUCUGGUUCAUCUUUGAGAGAAGGCAAGCAUUGUAAAUUUUGUUUGAAUGACCAAGUAAACAAUCGUUGCUUGUAUGAUGCUUUGUCACUAAGUUUGAAAACGAGACGUGUGAAUCUUGUUGGCUUGUUAAGACAAAAUCAAAUUUUUGAUUGUGGAGAAUGUUGUUUAUUUUUGUUUAACAAAAUCAAGACAUAUGAAUGUUUAAAGGCAUGCCUGUUUAAUUUUCUUUUGAUCCGAAUAUGUGAUAAGACGAUGGCAUGUAAAAUGGUUAGUGCAUUUGAAUUUGAAGAUGGUGUCUCAAAUCUGCCUUGCUAUAUAAAUUCUGCAUGUUUAAGUAAGAUUGAUCGAGUGGAACUUAGAUUACAUGAUCAUUUGGAGGACUCCUUGAUAAAUUUUGAUUAUAAAUUUGAUUUGAUUCUGAUGCAUCCUUUAUUACCAAGUAUGGAAAACCAUUGUGAACAGGUAAGAUCCACUUCUACAUUUGAUCCCGGCAUUGGAUUAUGCAUUCUAAUUUUGAAUAAGAUUCUGAAAAGAUCGUUUGAGUUUAUAAAUUUUAGUGUCACUAAUUCGUUCCAUUUCUAUGUAGGUGACACUUUGGAAUGGUUUCCUCCUAAAGAGGGAGGGCAUGGAACUAAAUCAUUUUCUUUUCAAACCAUUUGUGGUUCUUGGAGUUUUAAAAACAAUACUUUUCGGAUCAUGAACAAAAGGGCUUGUGAUCCAAAAAAUUUUUCGCGAGCAAGUGGCCCGAUUUGAGGACAAAUCGUCUUUAAGAGGGAGGGUAUGAUGUGAUCUCAAUCGCAUCAUGUUGUGGCACCACUCGUUGCUAUCAUGAUUGGCCUAAAACACGAGGGCCCCAAGUGUAAGAUGAAGCUCAAUCUCAGCUCAACAAGCUCAAUCUUAGUUUUUCCCAGCUCGAUUUAGCUCACAUGAGCUUAAUUUAGCUCGUUUGAGCUCAAUUUAGCUUACUUUAGCUCGUUUGAGCUUGGCUUAAGUUUAUUUCAACUCAUUUAUUUUAAUGUCUGAAUAAAUUAAGUAAUUUAUUAAUUUAGCUUAAAUUACUACAGCUUAUAAUUAUGUUUUGACUUAUUACAUGUUUUAAAUGUGUCUUGGCCGAAUUUAAUAUGUCUUGUUAAGACUUUAUUAAAAUUUGUCUAAUUUAAUUUAUGUUUAAUUAGUGUGUCUAAAUUAUAUUAAUGUUUGUUCAGCUGAAUUUUAUGUGAUUUAAUUUUGGUUCAUGUGUUUUUGUAGGUGAGUUGAAUUUGGAGAGUAAUUAAACAAGGUUCAUGCAUGAUAGGUUCAAUGUAUGGGACGGUGCAUGUAAGGCCUCUUUCAAUGAAUGGUGGCUGAUCCAUUUGGCUCCCCAAGGCACCUAUUUGGCCAAAAGGUGUCCAGCAACUUAAAGCACAAGCUUGGCCGAUCGUAUUCCCAAGGCAGCAUCUAAGCCAUUCACACCUCAAUUUGACCAAUCAGCUCCUAUACAUGUAUGGGUGGAUUCAUGAACGUCCAAAGGGAGGGAAUAUUACCUUAAUUCAUCACAUUGAAUGUAUAAUGUGCAUGUACAAAGGGGAGAACGAAUUUACAAGGUACAUGCUUCCAUUCAUGAACCAGCCCAUCAUUAAAGCAUUAAUUAAGAGAGAUGCAUUACCCAUGCACCUAGCAUUCGUCCAAGAGGGGUUCGAUAUGAAUUGAAGAUGCACAUUCAUGGAACAAGGAAGCUUUCUUAUUGGUUAAGCAUGCAUGAACGGGUUUUGGGAAGAAACAUGAUUAUUCAACCAUGCAUGAACUUACACUAUCCAUGAACAGAGAUUUAAUGCUUGAAGUGUGAACAUUUUUAAUUGUUGUGUGAACACAUUAGUAGCUGAAUUUUAAUAGGCAUUAGAGAGCCUAUAAAUAGUUUAUUUUGUUUAUUGUAAAAGGUUACAGAAUUUGAUUAUUGAAAACUUGAUUGUGAGGUUUCCUCCUAUCCUAUUUCGUACGAGUCUCGUUCUGACUUAUCUAGCUCGCUAGUGGCGUCAACCCGACUUCUUGAACUUAUCACCAUCCUGGUGUGGCUUUCAUCCACCUUUUUAUACCUUUGGUUCCUACCUUUCUAUAGGUAACGGGUCAAGGUCCAUCUUCGACAAUCCAUUAAACCCACCUUAAGCAAUAUAAGUCCCGGGGCAAUACUUCAUAUAGUAUUGAAUCGUUCUUCGCUUGAGUUCUAUUUUUCCAUUCCAUUUUAACUAUUAAAUUAUAAACAAUAUUUCUUUAUUUCACCGAGCCUAUCAAACAUCUACCCAAACCAUCUUUUGAACCCAUUUUCUCAACUUCCGCUAUAAAAAUCAUCUAACUCCAUCUAUCUACAAAAUUGAACAAACUUCUCGUCGACGAUCGGGCAAUCAAGUGAAUCGACUCAAUCAACCGAGCCGGAUCACAUCAUUAACUCAACAACGGAGAUUCGACUACACUAUGCCCCCGAUGAACGAAGGUUUGUUUUAAAUGAAAAAGGUAAAAUCGACCCUUAUUCUUUUGCUUAUCAAGGUAAGAUGCUUGAAACCUUUGAAACACUUUUGUACUCCUCGGAUAGCGAAAAAGAUCGUGUUGAUGAACACUUAGAUCGAAACGUGCUUGACUGUCCUAUUUUAUUUAUUGAUGAUAAAUCUAUUUUGAUGGUUGAUAAAAAGAUUCUUGUUUUUGAUAAUGCAUGUGUGAGUGAAUCUAUAGACCAUCGAUUAAGGCAUGGUAAUCUGAAUCUGUCCAUUCACAUGCGUUAUACCUGUUCUAUUAUGCUUAUAAUUGGACUACAAGCUUGUUUGCGUUGCUAUUUACUAUUUCAUGGCUAUUCUUUUCAGUGGACUCAAUUGCCAUUAGUCCCGUUCGAUCGAGGAAAGUCGAGUUCAUUUGAUUUUUUAGAUUCGAGGAUGAAUCUUUUUGAGGAAGGAGGGAAUGAUACGAGUUAUAAAGGCCCAAUCCAAGUUCAAGAACGUGAUGGGCUCAAAUUGCCACAAGGCCCAAUAACGAGAUCAAAGGCUCGACAAAUGCGGUCCAAACUAAAUGGGACCAUUCAAGAGCUUGUUAGCAAGGCCUUAGAUGCAUACACGAGAGAACAAGAAAAUCAAGAUUCACUUUCUUGUUUUCAAGAAAAUCAAGAAAUCGAAUCUUGGCCCAAUUUUGCUGUUCGAAGAGAUUUCAAGAAUCAAGAAAAUCAAGAUUUCAAAUCUUGGAAAUCUUGGUCCAAGAAACUAAAUCUUGCAGCCAAAAUGAUUGGAUCUCCAUUACGAGCGUCAACGACCCAAUUUUGGUAGGAGAUGGAUCACGAGCCAAAUUCUUGAAGGCGAGGCCCAAUAACCAAAAUCCAGCCCAAUCAAGAAAUUUCUUCAUACUUAGUUGAAAAUCAAGCCAAAAUGUCAAAGGGCCCAAUUUGUAAACAUCUUACUUGUUUAAUUUAAUUUUUUAAUCUUUAGGAGCAUUACAUGUAAAAUUCGGCCCAAAACAGCCCAUAUAAGUGCAUGGCCGAAUUUACCUUGUUAUUUUAUUAAUUAGGUUUAAUUUUUUAUUAGUUACUUGUGAGAUUAGGAUUUGUUGGAGGCCUAUAUAAGCAUUGGCCAGCCACCCUUUGUGAAAACAUCUUAUUAUUAUUUUUUCUAUCAAAUUUCAGAUUUGUUGAGUGCAGAAUUUUCUUUGGGGUUUUCUCCAAGAAUUCUCUCUUGAGUUUUCUUUAGAAGUUGUUUUAACAAUCUUUUGAUUGUGGGAGCCAUCUUCAACCUUCUUCUUGCCAUUGAUAUUCUUUGGAGGGGAGAUUAGAGCCGUUUGAAGAGAUUUGUGAAAUCUUUCGGGAUUUCAAGGAUCUUUAGGACUUAUCCUUUAAUUCUUGCUAUUUUCGAUUUCUUUCUUUACUUUUCUUUGCUUAUACUUGUGCCGAUUUCUCAUCUAAUAUUUUGCUGUUCUUGUUUGUUUUCCAGCAUUGAUUAAACUCAAGAUCUCAUCGUUUAAGUUGUUCUCCUAUUGGCAGCACCCAUUCGAACCCAAAAAUCCCCAAUUUCUAGGGUUUGGCCGAUUGGAUUUCUUUCAAUUUGGGAAUCAAUUGAUUGCUGGAAAUUGGGCAUUCUUGGCCGAAUCAAUUUGUUGACCGAUUCGCAAUCUUUCUAUACUUCCAAUUUCGUUUGAUUCAUCGAUUCUAUUUCUUUCUUCUUGCUGCUCAUUUAAUUGAAUUUGGGGAAUUUCAAUUCAAUUCAGAUUUGCUUUUAAUCUUAAUCUUUGUUUUUGAUUUCAGAUCUGUUCGUCUAGGAUCUUUCGUAGGAGUUUCCCGUGACUUGGCAACUCGAUCUUGGUCCGCGCACAACCCUUUAUUAGUAGUCUUCAUGAGCUAGAAUUCAACUCAUGAGCUAAAACCGAGCUGGACUUGGACCCAUGAGCUGGUAGUGAGUUGGACCCGAGCUGGGGAACUGGAAUGAGUUGAGCUGGACUUGCAGGUAGUUGCAUGGUGAGUUCAAGGAAUUGGAAUUAGCUUUCACGGAGUGUCCUAAUGGCGUUUCCAUCCAAAGUUGAGCUACAAAAGCUGUGAUGGACUCCUUAAACUUCUUGGCUUGAGCUCGAGUAACAGGACCUUGUGGUAGCACCAUAAAAUCCUCGCCCAAACUAGCUGAACCAUGGGGCGCGAUCACGUCAAUUCCCUAGCUCAAUUUAGCUCACUAAGUGUUUUUGACUAUUUGAGCUAGCUGAAUUUAUUAUAAGUUAACUUAUAACUAUUGUGUUCAAAUUUAGUUAGUGUGAUAGAGGAAUGCGCGCGGACCAAUAUCGAGUCGUCAAGUCACGGGAAACUCCUACGAAAGCUCUAAACGAACAGAUCUGAAAAUUAAAAACAAAGAUUAAGAUUAAACCGAAUCAGAUUUGAAUUUAAAAUUCCCAAAUUCAAUUAAAAGAGCAGCAAGAAGAAAAGAAAUAGAAUCGAUGAAUCAAACGAAAUUGAGAAGAAAGAAAAGAUGCAAGCCAAGGAAUUGAUUCGGCCAAGAAUGCCCAAUUUCCAGCAAACAAUUGAUUCCCAAAUUGAAAGAAAUCCAAUCGGCCAAACCCUAGGAAUUGGGGAUUUUUGGGUUCGAAUGGGUGCUGCCAAUAGGAGAACAACUUAAACGAUGAGAUCUUGAGUUUAAUCAAUGCUGGAAAACAAACAAGAACAGCAAAAUAUUAGAUGAGAAAUCGGCACAAGUAUAAGCAAAGAAAAGUAAAGAAAGAAAUCGAAAAUAGCAAGAAUUAAAGGAUAAGUCCUAAAGAUCCUUGAAAUCCUGAAAGAUUUCACAAAUCUCUUCAAACGGCUCUAAUCUCCCCUCCAAAGAAUAUCGAUGGCAAGAAGAAGGUUGAAGAUGGCUCCCACAAUCAAAAUAUUGUUAAAACAACUUCUAAAGAAAGCUCAAGAGAGAAUUCUUGGAGAAAACCCCAAAGAACAUUCUGCACUCUAACAAACUGAAAUUUAAUGUAUUGAAUGAUAAUAAGAUCCUUUUGCAAAGGGUGGCUGGCCAAUGCUUAUAUAGGCCUCCAACAAAUCCUAAUCUCACAAGUAACUAAUAAAAAUUAAACCUAAUUAAUAAAAUAACAAGGUAAAUUCGGCUAUGCACUUAUAUGGGCUGUUUUGGGCCGAAUUUUACAUGUAAUGCUCCUAAAGAUUAAAAAAUUAAAUUAAACAAGUAAGAUGUUUACAAAUUGGGCCCUUUGACAUUUUGGCCUGAUUUUCAACUAAGUAUGAAGAAAUUUCUUGAUUGGGCUGGAUUUUGGUUAUUGGGCCUCGCCUUCAAGAAUUUGGGCUCGUGAUCCAUCUCCUACCAAAAUUGGGUCGUUGACACUCGUAAUGGAGAUCCAAUGCGUUUUGGCUGCAAGAUUUGGUUUCUUGGACCAAGAUUUCCAAGAUUUGAAAUCUUGAUUUUCUUGAUUCUUGAAAUCUCUUCGAACAGCAAAAUUGGGCCAAGAUUCGGUUUCUGGAUUUUCUUGAAAACAAGAAAGUGAAUCUUGAUUUUCUUGUUCUCUCGUGUAUGCAUCUAAGGCCUUGCUAACAAGCUCUUGAAUGGUCCCAUUUAGUUUGGACCGCAUUUGUCGGGCCUUUGAUCUUGUUAUUGGGCCUUGUGGCAAUUUGAGCCCAUCACGUUCUUGUACUUGGAUUGGGCCUUUAUGACUCGUAUCAUAGUGAUAUUAAGCUAUUUAGUUAUUAUUUUAAAUUAUAAUUAUAUGAAUAGUUGUGUGUUAUUUAAUUAUGUUAUUUAAUUAUGUAGGUUAGCCGAAUUUGGAAGAUACAUUCAUGGCAUUUAAUGCAAGGUGCAUGAAUGGGAAUGUUCAUUGAACGGGAGGAUACAUGCAUGGACCGGUUUAAUGUUUGGAGGACAUACAUUCAUGUACAUGGAAGGUUAAUGCAUAUUGAAAGGUGCAUCUCCCUUGGACGGCACACAUGCAUGAAUGGGGGUAAUCAAUGCAAGUGCAUGUACAGCUAGGUUCAAGGCCCCUUCCAAGUUCCAUGUACAACCGAUGCAUGUGGGAGGACCCUUGGAGUUUCUUAAGCACCUAUUCGGCCAAGAGACACCCUUUGGGUGUUUCAUGCAUCCCAUGGUCGAACCUAGACAAUCCCAUUGGCUUCCAAAGCUUGCUCAUACAUGAAGCUGCCCAUUCACCUCCCAUUCGGCCGAACAUGGACAAGGUGAUGUGAUCCGGCCUGGGUUAAUUGAGUCAUUUCACGUAAUUGCCCGAUCGUCGACGAGGAAUAGUUGAGUUAUCGAAAAUAGGAUGAGAUAAGGCUAAAGAUGCGGAAGCUUUCAAAUGGUUUUAAAAGGUGGGCUAAGGAGAUGGUAAAUUUAUAAGGGGUAGUAGGUUCGAUUUAAUGAUAAAAAUAAGAAAAAAAUGGAAGUUGGAUAAAUGAAAGCUCGGUUUUGUAAAAAGAUAUAGUUGGGUAAAAUCUUGGGUAUUCGGUGGAAUGGAUAAAUGAGCUUAAACACCAGAAACGAUUCAACACUAAAAAGUGUCACCCCGAUUUCUAUUCGGUUCAAGGUGGGAUUACGGAAUUGUAGAAGGUUGAACGCCACACCAAAGCAAGGUGAUAAGUUCAAAAGAGAACGAUAGACGCCACUAGCACGCUAGAUAAGUCAGAUCGAAACUCGUACGAAUUUAGAGAGGAGAAAACUCACUCUUUGAACAAAGUUCAUUCAAAUGAUCAAAAGUCAAAAAGUCCUUUACAAAUGAAAGAAAACAAAUAUUUAUAGGCACAUAGAUGACCAUUCAAAUUCGGCAUCUAGGUGUUCACACAAUAAUAAAAACGUUCACACUAAUGUAUUAAAAUAGUUCAUAAAUUCGGCAGAUUCAUGCACUAGCUGAAUGAACACUUUCUUCCCCCUUAGUUUGUGCAUGAAUGCUUAGUCAUAAAGAAAGGCUUCAAGUGACUUGUAUGUGCACCAAAAGGUUGCAUUCAUCUCCUUGGGACGUUCAUGCACUUGUAUGGACCAUGUAUCUUCAUAAUUAAACACUUUAAUGGCAUGUAAGUUCAUAAAUGGUAGCAUGAACCUAGUAAAUUCGUUCUCCCCUUUGUGCAUGCACUUAAUUCAAUCAAUGUGUUGAAUUAUUGAGUUAAUUCCUUCCCUUGGACGUUCUUGAACCCAUCCAUGCAUGUGUAGUAGCCUAUAGGUCAAUUCAAAGUGUGAACAUGUUCAAGGAGCUCUAUGGUCAACAUAGAAUUAGUUAGCAGCUACUUCUUGGCCGAAUAAGUGCCUUGGAAAGUUAAGAGACAGCCACCAUACAUGCACUUAAGCCAUUCAUGCAUUCUAUCAUCCCAUGCAUUUGAUCCAUUCAUGGACUAGCCUUUAAUGUUCAUACAUGCAUUCGACACAUGCAUGAAUUUGUAGAAACACUGCAACUAGCCGUACAUGCACCAGCAUUUAAUACUUCUUCAUUCAUGAGUGUGGAAUGCCCAAAAGAGAUGUUUCUUCAUUCAUACAUUGUACCGUCCAAAGGAAUGUACCUACAUGAAAUAAACAAGUCAUUAAGACAUCUCAUGAACACUCAUAAAUUCGGCAUGAUGUGAACACAUUAAUGUCAUGCAUUAAUUCAGCUAUGUGAACAUAAUCAAUUUAUAUAAUGACAAUGACAUAUUAAUAACAAAUAUUAAUAUAAGACAAGUUUAAUGCUUAAAUGAAUACGUGCAAAUUUUUAUUUAAUGUAUUAAAGACAAAACCGAGUUUAAACUAAAAUGAGCUAAGCUUUAGCUCGUGAGCUAAAGUUGAGCUGAGGCUAAACUCCUAAGCUGAAGUUGAGCUAAGGUUUAGCUCGUGAGCUAAAUAUGAGCUAGGAGUGAGCUCGGUUUAGCUCAGGCAAGUUGGAUCGAGCUUGAAUAAGCUGGAUUUGAGCUAGACGGAGCUCGUGGAGCUGGAAACGAGCUGGGAUCAGCUUGCCAACAUGUCAAUGCUCGGCUUGACAGACUUGUUCGAUGAAGUUCACGGGGCGUGCUCGUAUCACAAGGACACCAUUGGUCAUUUUUCUAGAAGGUUCAUGUCUUAAUUUAGGUUCAUUACUUAAUCAUUAAGUUCAUGAAUGGACUAUUCGGUUAGCAUAAGAAACUAGUAUAAAUAGUUUGUUGAUUUCAUUUGUAAAGGACUUUUGCCAAAUUUGUUAAUGAACAUUUGUUCUUGUGAGGUUGCUUCCUCUCAUAUCUCGUACAAGUUUCGAAAGACUUAUCUGGCUUGUGCUAGUGGCGUCAAUCGUCUUGUUUGAACUUAUCACCAAUCUUGGUGUGGCGUUCACCUAUCCAUCUAUCCAUACUUCACCUUAACAAUAUAGGAACCGGGGUGACACUUCUUAGUGUUGAAUCAUUCCUGACGUUGAGUUCGUUUUCCAUUCCUAUCCUUUGAAUUAUUUUCUUGUUAUACCAAACCGACCCAUUUAUCCAUCACCCAUCUUCGCUACACAUAACCGAACCUAUUACUAAACUUACCCUUCUUGAAACCUUCCGCUUAUUCUAAUCCAUUAUUUUACUUUUAUUACUAAAAUCUGAGACACGAACAACUCUCUCGAACUAUGAUCGGGCAACUACGUGAAUUCGACUCAUCUACCCGGGCCGGAUCACAUCAUUUGGUAUCAGAGCUUGUAAAUCGAGAGGCGCUGACGUUCGUAUCAAGAUCGAACUAGGUUCGUUGUGAAAAAAAAUUCAAGUUGUAAUUUUCAUUCUCUCUCUUGUAAUAGUGAUAUUGUGAAGUAUUAAAAAAAGAGACAAAAAAAUGAAAUUAUAAAAAAAAAGUGAAGUGAUCAAGUUCUUCUUUUGUUUAUAUUUUGACCCGAUCGACAAAGUGUUCUUUUCAUCAACUUUGCACCCCAUUUCCAAAACGCCACACUACACCAAAGAAAAAUUUUCUUUUAGCCUACCCAUAACCUAUACAUCUUAUCCCUUGUAACCAAUUUUUGAAGCCGACCCCAAGGCACCUAGACGAGUCAAAAGAAACAAAAUACGAGGUUACGAGAGUAAGCUUGAGUGGUAAAAGGCUAGAGUGUAUGAGAUCAUUCGAGAGUUUAUAAAAAAGCCUAAAAACGAGUGCAAACACGAGUGGAGUGUUCAUCAAUUUUCUUUGCGAGUGAUUAGUGAGAUUUGUGGUGAGGAUUUGAAAAUUAUUGAAAAUUAUUAUGGAACGAAAUGUGGAGGAAAGGCAACCUGUUCGGAAUGUGCCAGAUUUGAAUAUGCAAGCCUUACUUCGAGAAGUUGAACGGUUGUUUGAUCGAAAGUUGGAACCAAUACAAGAUCGACUCGAUCAAGUGGAGGGAAGAGGCUGAUGAGCAAGGACCCCAAUAAGUCGAAGGCAUGUUCGAGAUGACGAAAUUUCCGAGCCAAGUGAAGCCGAAAGCGAGGCUGGUUCGAAUGUUAGUGCCUGGCAGAGAGGCCAACGUCAUCGUGGACAACGAGAGCGAGAAAGGUUCGAUGAUGACUUAAAAAGUAUUAGGUUAUCAAUUCCCCCGUUCCAAGGCCGUUCGGAUCCCGAAGCAUAUUUGGAGUGGGAGAAAAAGAUCGAACUCAUUUUCAAGUGCCAUAACUCCUCGGAGGUAAAGAAAGUUAAGUUGACUACCAUAGAAUUCACCGACUAUACCUUGAUUUGGUGGGACCAACUCACAACAACCCGAAGGCGAAAUGGCGAGCGUCCCAUUAACACUUGGGCCGAAAUGAAGGCUGUCAUGCGCCGAAGGUUCAUUCCAACACACUACCACUGAGAACUUUACCAAAAACUCCAAAAUCUCUCCCAAGGUAUGAGGAGUGUCGAGGAUUAUUACAAAGAAAUGGAAGUUGCUAUGAUCCGUGCGAAUAUGGAUGAGGAUCGAGAAGCAACUAUGGCUAGAUUUCUGUUUGGACUUAACCGUGAGAUUGCCAAUGUUGUGGAGCUACAACAUUAUGUGGAAAGAGUUGAUAUGGUCCACAUGGCCAUCAAAAUCGAGAAGCAACUCAAGAAGAAAGGUGCUGCCCGAGGCUAUUCAACCACCAAUGUGUCUCGAUGGAACCAAGGCACUAGCAAGAAUGCUACGGAGAGCCAAACAAAAGAUCCUAAGGCACCUAUCAAAGCUACCAAACCUACGGGUGAAAAUAGCAAAGGCAAGGCUGUUGAAGGUACUCAAAACCGGACGAGAGACAUAAAAUGUUUCAAGUGCCUUGGAAGAGGGCAUAUUGUGAGUCAGUGUCCGAAUCAGAGCGUCAUGGUGAUUUAACCAAAUGGCGAUAUUGAAUCGGAGGAGGAGGAGAAUGAAAAAGUUGAAAACAAUAACGAAACCCUUUUCGAUGCCGAGGAAGAAAUGGAGUACACGAUCGAGGGUGAGAUGUUUGUUGUUAAGAGAAGCUUAGGUUCGCAAGGUACCGAACUUGAUCUGCAACGAGAGAACCUUUUUCAUACAUGUUGUUUUGUUCGUGGAAAGGUUUGUAGCGUAGUGAUUGAUGGAGGAAGUUGUACAAAUGUUGCGAGUACCCUCCUAGUUGAAAGACUUGAUUUGCCGACAAGUGUUCAUCCAAGUCCAUACAAGCUACAAUGGCUUAAUGAUGGAAUUGAGCUAAAGGUAACCAAGCAAGUUCUUGUUCCAUUUUCAAUUGGAAAGUAUGAAGAUGAAGUUCUUUGUGAUGUGGUGUCCAUGCAUGCGGGACAUAUACUACUUGGGAGGCCCUGGCAAUUCAACCGAAGAGUGAAGCAUGAUGGGUUUGCAAAUCAAUAUACUUUUAAGUAUCAAGGCUGAAAUUUUACUUUGGAACCUUUGACACCAAAACAAGUUGUGGAGGAUCAACAAUGGUUAAAGCAAUCUUUGGAACGAACGCGAGAGGAAAAAGAAAUUGAAAGAGAAAAGAAAACGAGUUGUGAUAAAAAAAAUGAGAGAAAAAGAAAUUCAAAGAAACAUGAGUGAAGAAAAGAAAAGAGUUUUGAUUAACCAAAGUUUUCUUCGUUCUAAUUCUUUUCAGGUUGACUCAAGCCCUAUGAUGCGGUUACGAUACAUUCCCGAGGAGAGAAGGUUUGUAAUGAUUGGAAAAGGUAAAGUUAAUUCUUGUUUUUGUGAACAAGGUAAGGUUUCUGGAAUUUCUAUUACAUUUUUGCCCAACUUGAUUGAUGAAGAAAACAUUAACGAUGAAGAUAUAACUGUUUUGGUUGAUGGACACAAGACUUUUGAUAAGCAUAAAGUUGAUAAGUUUGAUGAAUUCUUGCUGUCCAAAUUGCGUAGUUUAAGAGCACAAAAACAUGAGAUAAAUUUUUCUUUUCCAUUGUUUGCCUAUGAUAGACAUAUGCAGGUUUUGAAAUGUCAAAUGAAUUCCUAUCGAAGUUCUAAUACUUCGCAAGUACAAUUUGAAAUGAACAAGCGAAGUACGGAAUCCUUGUUCAUUAAGUUUUUGAAUGAGAUAUGAUUAUUUGAUAGUGAACAUGGGAUAUUGAUAUUAUUCUGUUGUGAUGGUCUUAAGUGUGAGAAGACUUGCUUCCAUGACCGUUUGAAUAAGUUUCUGCUUUGUAAUGAUUCUCAAUUGGUUGCAAGUUAUGAAACGUUUUUGUAGCAAGGCAUGAUGUGUCCACUAAACACAUCCAUCCAAGAACGAUCAAGUAGGCAUCCCUGUUUCAAAAUUAAUGAUACGAGCACGCCCCGCAAACUUUAUCGAGCAAGUCUGUCAAGUCGAGCAAUGACAUGUUGGCAAGCUGAUCCCAGCUCGUUUUCAGCUCCACGAGCUCCGUCCAGCUCAAAUCCAGCUUAUUCGAGCUCAAUCCAUCUUGCCUGAGCUAAACCGAGCUCACUCCUAGCUCACUUUCAACUCACGAGCUAAACCUUAGCUCAACUUCAGCUUAGGAGUUUAGCCUCAGCUCAACUUUAGCUCACGAGCUAAAGCUUAGCUCAUUUUAGUUUAAACUCGGUUUUGUCUUUAAUGCAUUAAAUAAAAAUUUGCACAUAUUUAUUUAAGCAUUAAACUUGUCUUAUAUUAAUAUUUGUUAUUAAUAUGUCAUAGUCAUUACAUAAAUUGAUUAUGUUCACAUAGCUGAAUUAAUGCAUGACAUUAAUGUGUUCACAUCAUGCCGAAUUUAUGAGUGUUCAUGAGAUAUCUUAAUGACUUGUUUAUUUCAUGUAGGAACAUCCCUUUGGACGGUACAACGUGAUACGGGGUUGCGCGUGGACCAAGAUCGAGUUGCCAAGUCACGAGAAACUCCUACGAAAACCCUAAACAAUUAGAUCUGAAACGAAACAGAAAAUUAAAAGAUUAGAUUUUUGAAUUUUCAGAUCUGAAAUAAAAUCCCCAAAUCAGCAAAGAAUCAAAUUGAGAAUAGAAAUAAGUGUUAGGGUUCUUGAAACCCUCAAGGAGAUUGUGAUUCUGCCCAAUUGAACACCAAGAUAGUUUUCCCCAAAUUUCGACAAUCUAAUUUCACCCAAAAAGAGUAUGGAAAAACCCUAGAAAUUGGGGAUUUUUGGGCUGAUUCCUUAAGAUAGAAAAAGGCUGAAAACACAAUAAAAACAGAAAAUAGAUUAGAUAAUGAUUCAGCACAAGUAGAAAUAAAGAAAGAACUGACAGUAAGAAAUUAAAAGAUAAGUCCUAAGAAGCCUUGAAAUCUCGAAAGAUCUCACAACUCCCUUCAAACGGCUCUAAUCUCCCCUCCAAAGAAUAUCAAUGGCAAGAAGAAGGUUGAAGAUGGCUCCCACAAUCACAAGAUUGUUAAAACAACUUCUAAAGAAAACUCAAGAGAGAAAUCUUGGAGAAAACUCAAAGAAAAUUUUGCUCUCAACAAAUCUGAAAUUUUAAUAAUAAUGAUAAGUGUUUAACAAGGUGGACAGCCAUGCCUUUAAAUAGGCCUUAUAACUAGUCCUAAUCUAAUUAGAAAACUAAAAUAAAAAAAACUCCUAAUUAUUUUAAUAUGGAAAUUCGGUAAAAGGUCAUUUUAUCUGGGACUCUUGGACUGAAUAUUGACAUAAAAAUUUAAACUAAGUAAAUAAAUAAAUAAAUAAAUAAAUAAAAAUAAAAAUAAAACUUUACAACUUGGGCCACUUUGACAAUUUGGCCUGAUUUUCAACUAAGUAUGGAUGGAUUUCUUGAUUGGGCUGGGAAUUUGCUUAUUGGGCCUCGCCUUCAAGAAUUUGGGCUUUUGUGACUCGUAUCACAAUGUAUGGAUAAAGAAACAUCUCUUUUGGGCAUUCCACACUCAUGAAUGAAGAAGUAUUAAAUGCUGGUGCAUGUACGGCUAGAUGCAAGGUUUCUACAAAUUCAUGCAUGUGUCGAAUGCAUGUACGGACAUUAAAGGCUAGUCCAUGAAUGGAUCAAAUGCAUGGGAUGAUAGAAUGCAUGAAUGGCUUAAGUGCAUGUAUGGUGGCUGUCUCCUAACUUUCCAAGGCACUUAUUCGGCCAAGAAGUAGCUGUUCACACUUUGAAUUGACCUACAAGCUACUACACAUGCAUGGAUGGGUUCAAGAACGUCCAAAGGAAGGAAUUAACUCAAUAAUUCAACACAUUGAUUGAAUUAAGUGUAUGCACAAAGGGGAGAACGAAUUUACUAGGUUCAUGCUGCCAUUUAUGAACCUACAUGCUAUUAAAGAGUUUAAUUAUGAGGAUACAUGUUCCAUACAAGUGCAUGAACGUCCCAAGGAGAUGAAUGCAACCUUUGGUGCACAUACAAGUCACUUGAAGCCUUUCUUUAUGAUUAAGCAUUCAUGCACACACUUAGGGGGAAGAAAGUGUCCAUUCAACUAGUUCAUGAAUCUGCUGAAUUUAUGAACUAUUUUAAUACAUUAGUGUGAACGUUUUUAUUAUUGUGUGAACACCUAGAUGUUGAAUUUGAAUGGUCAUCUAUGUGCCUAUAAAUAUUUGUUUUUCUUUCAAUUGUAAGGGACUUUUUGCCAAAAUUUUUAUUGAAUUUAAUCUUGUGAGAAUUUUCUUCUCUAAACUUUGUUUGAGACUUUGUUGACUUAUCUACCUAGUAGUGGCGUCAACCCUGUUUCGUUCACCCAUAUACCGAGGUUCCUACUUUGUUAAGUAGUGGGUCGAGGUUCUAUCAUUUUCAUUUUCGCCUUGAAAGCCUAUAAGCAUUUGGGUCGAUAUAUUCUAAUAUUGGUUCGUGCUUGCUUUUGAGUUCCUUCUUUCCAUUCUUUCAUUUACUUUAAACCGAACCUUAAUAUUCAUAUUUUAACCCCUUCAUUUGAACCCCUUGAAUAGCUUCCGCAUAAUUUAUUUAGAAACAUCUUUUUUGAACAAACCGAAUGAUACUUUCUCGUAGACGAUCGGGCAAACUCGCAUACGACUCGACUCUCCCCGAGUUGGUUGGUAUCAAUUAACCAUCAGCUCGACUUGAGGACAAGUCGCUUUGAAGAUGGGGGAAUGAUGUGAGCACACCCGGGGCAUCCUCGAAAGCACACCAAGGAUCUAUUAAGCUGCCAAAAGGUCACAUGACCCGAGCUCAAACCAAGCAACUUCAAGAUGCUAUAUCAGCCUUUGUGAUGCGCAUUUAGGAAGAUAACCAGCUCUAUAACGUUGGAGGAGUUAAGAAUAACUCCUUGAAGACUCCAUGCACCAUUUUGCAAUCCGACCUUAGCUCCUCUUCAGCUCCCCUAUGCGCCAUUCAGUUCCCAUCAGCUCACUUGAGCUCGUUUUAGCUCGUUUGAGCUCGAAUUUAGCUCGUUUCAGCUCAUUCCUUUUUCAUUUCAAUAAAUUAAGUAUUAAUCUAGCUUAUAACUAAGUUUGUUACAGCUCAUGCCGAAUUCCCUAGCUCAAUUUAGCUCACUAAGUGUUUUUGACUAUUUGAGCUAGCUGAAUUUAUUAUAUGUUGACUUAUAAUUGUGUUCAAAUUUAGUUAGUGAUAUUAAGCUAUUUAGUUAUUAUUUUAAAUUAUAAUUAUAUGAAUAGUUGUGUGUUAUUUAAUUAUGUUAUUUAAUUAUGUAGGUUAGCCGAAUUUGGAAGAUACAUUCAUAGCAUUUAAUGCAAGGUGCAUGAACGGGAAUGUUUAUUGAACGGGAGGAUACAUGCAUGGACCAGUUUAAUGUUUGGAGGACAUACAUUCAAGUACAUGGAAGGUUAAUGCAUAUUGAAAGGUGCAUCUCCCUUGGACGGCACACAUGCAUGAAUGGGGGUAAUCAAUGUAAGUGCAUGUACAACUAGGUUCAAGGCCCCUUCCAAGUUCCAUGUACAACCGAUGCAUGUGGGAGGACCCUUGGAGCUUCCGAAGCACCUAUUCAGCCAAGAGACACCCUUUGGGAGUUUCAUGCAUCCCAUGGCCGAACCUAGACAAUCCCAUUGGCUUCCAAAGCUUGCUCAUACAAGAAGCUGCCCAUUCACCUCCCAUUCGGCCGAACAUGGACAAGGACACCAUUGGUCAUUUUUCUAGAAGGUUCAUGUCUUAAUUUAGAUUCAUUACUUAAUCAUUAAGUUCAUGAAUGGACUAUUUGGUUAGCAUAAGAAACUAGUAUAAAUAGUUUGUUGAUUUCAUUUGUAAAGGACUUUUGCCAAAUUUGUUAAUGAACAUUUGUUCUUGUGAGGUUGCUUCCUCUCAUAUCUCGUACAAGUUUCGAAAGACUUAUCUGGCUUGUGCUAGUGGCGUCAAUUGUCUUGUUUAAACUUAUCACCAAUCUUGGUGUGGCGUUCACCUAUCCAUCUAUCCAUACUUCACCUUAACAAUAUAGGAACCGGGGUGACACUUCUUAGUGUUGAAUCAUUCCUGACGUUGAGUUCGUUUUUGUAAUAGCCCAAAAUUGGGUCUAGUUAGAACAGAGGUUUCGAAACAACAAAAUCUAAUAUAUAAAUAAUUAUUUUAUGAUUAUUUUGAGGUCUAUGAUAUGAUUGCAUGAUUGUGUGAAAAUUUCGUAAAGAAAUUCUAUGCAUAAAGUGCUUAAUUCGAAGUUAGGGACUAAAUUGAAUAAGUUCCAAAACUUGCAUUCUAGAAGUUUCUAGCAUGAAAUUGAUUUGAAAUAUUAAUUAGGAGGUCUUAAAUAGCAAUUUGACCAAUUUCUAAGUUAUGGACAAAAAUUGGACAUGGAUGGAAUUUUUGGAAAGUUUAGUAGUAAGGGUAUUUUGGUCAUUUAGGGGUAAAAUGAAUUAAAAUACAAAAUUAAAAGCCAAUUUUGCUCAUCUUCUUCACCAUGGAUGUGUAUACCAAGGGAGACUCCAUGUCUAGGGUUUUCAAGCUUCCCAAGCUCAAUUGUAAGUCUGUUCUAACCCCGUUUUUCAAGUUCUUUACGUUUUUGGAGUCCCGGUAACUUGAUUUAGCUUAUGCUAGCAAUAAUUCAACCUAGGGUUCAUAUUUGGAAAAUAACCAUAGGUAAAAUUUGUGUAUUCUGGUGUUUUAUGAUACAAUAUGAGGUUUUAAAUUAUGUUAGACAACUUGUGCUACUCGGUUUUAAGUGAAAACGAGCAAAAGGGCUUAUCGGUAAAAAUACCUAAUAGUCAUAAGUAUAUGUUAGAGUGAGAAUUUGAUGUUGCCAUAGAAGGGAAAAGUGAUCAUCAUGUCAUAAAACAUAAGAAUAAGGGAUGAAUUUUAAUUCCUGAGCCUAGGGGCAAAAGUGUAAAUAUGCAAAAGUUUAGGGGAAAAAUUAUAAUUUUUCCAAAGUUUGAGUUAAGGACUGUUUUGAAUAUUACAUUAAUUAAAUAAGUAAAAUAUGAUGUUUUAGAUCCCGAAAAACGAGAUUUGAACCUAGAAUGAGAGAAAAAUCAAAAAUUGGGAAAGUUGGUAAAAUGGCCGUUUUAAUAUUAAGGUAAGUUCAUAUGUAUAAUAAGCAUUAAUUUAUGCAUGUUUCAAUGUAAAAUUGAUAUAUUUACUAUGAUCUCCGAGGUGUUGAAAGUAUGUAAGUUGGUAUGAUAAUAAUACAACAAUAAUGCUGUAAUUUAUAUUUGAAAGUUAAAUUUAGUGAAUUAAUUGAAUUAUGUUAAAUUAAAUGAUUAUGGUGCAAAGUUUAUGAAUUGAUUUAAAAAUAUGUCUAUGGUACAUGAAGUGCAUUGAAUUAUCAUACAUAAAUGUGAUUUCUAUGAUUAUGGAUAUUACGGGAAAUUGUAAGUUCAUAUGAUUUUUAAUAAGACAAUGUGUAAUUUAAUGUUAUUGCAUUGAUAUUAAAUGAGAUGUAAGUUUAUAUGUAAGUAAUACAUCACUAUUACUUGUAUUAUGAUAUUUUAUAAAAAUAUUGGAAAUAUGUUUGUGGAUAAUUACUUGAUUGGUGAAAUUGUUGGAAAAGAGAGAGAAAUCCCGGUUGAACCUUCGGAAAGAUUGGAUUAUACAGAUGGUAUGUAGCUAGGUCACAUGUAUAGUGCUGAGUGCACAUCAUGUGUACAAGAGAGCUACAAGACAUUAUGAUGUAGCUAGGUCGCAUGGGUGAUACUAUGUGUACACCAUGUAGACAAGAGAGCUACGGGAUAUAUGUAGCUAGGUCGCAUGCGUGGUUCCAAGUGAAGGACACCAUGUAGACAAGAGAGCUACGAGAUAAACUGGCUAAGUCACAUGGGUGGUACUAAGUGUUCACCAUGUGUACAAGAGAGCCGAACUAUAUGAUGGGUGGAGCUAUGUGCUGAAACCACCAAGUAUCGAGGAUUGAUCCGAAGUGUUCAACGGGAGACUCUCUAUGUAUUGCUUUGUGAGUUUUGUGAAGAAUAUGUGCAGGAACUUGGUUAUGUGAAUGAUGUGUUCAUUAAGUGACCAGGAUGUGGUAAGGUUAUAAACAAGUAAGUUAUACAUGAGGAUGAUUUUAUGGUGACCUUGUGAUCAUGGGCCUAUACUUGUGAUGUAUGAAAUGUGGUGAAAAUGAUUUGUGAUAUGUAUGUUAAAAUGAGGUUAAUACAAAGAAAGUGUGAAAGAGUGAAUUAGCAAUAAAACUGUUUUGGACAGUAGCAGUGACGUGAUUUUGAAAAAUCACCAAAAAUAGUAUAAAUUGAAUCAGAGACUGAAUGAGAUAUCAAAUUAAAGCUUAAUGAGUAUAUUUUCAUAUAAAAGAAACAUAGACAACAAAGGAGUUCUAUAUUUUUAGAUAUUUAUGUUUUCAUGAGACUGAUUCAAAAUUAUUACGUGAUCCCCUAUUCUGACUUUAGAAAAUCACAAAAAUUUGGAGAAAAAUAAUUAGAGGCUAAAAAUUAUAUUUUUAAAAUCCAUAAUGAGUCCAUUUUCAAGAUAAAUCAACAAGAACAUUAUCCGAGUUCUGUACUGUGAGAUAAUUAUUUUUUUAGUGAAGAGAGGUCAGAACUGUCAGAAAGUGAAACAAGGGAAAUUUUAAUGAAUAAACUGUACUAAUUGGCUGAACCAAAAAUUAUGAAAAUUUUAUGGUGGAACGAUAUGUGAGUCUAGUUUCAGGGGAAAUUUAGGGAUCUUAAUUUGGAGCUUUGUAGCUCAAAUUAUAAAUAAUUAAGUGACUAUGACUCGUGUGGACAGUUUGAUGUGAACAUUUAUUAGUAAAUUGUGAAAUCGUACUUACAAGAAUGCUAUAUACAUUAAGGAUGUGGAAUGGAGAGGAGGAGGAGGAAAAUAAAUAUAUGCGGAAUACAUGGAAACUAUGGUAUAUGAAAUAUUGAUAUAAUGAAAUAAAUGAUAUGUGUUUAUAAGAAAACAAAAAGAGAAUGUUAUGUAUCAUGACAUGUAUAUAUAUAUGACUAGUCUCAAUGUAAUGCUUGCUGGGUAUGGAAUUGAAUUGAAAUGUUUCAGGCAAAUAUGUUAUUCUGCGCAUCUGAAUCGUGGUAUUUUAUAAAGAUAUGAUCUAGCUUUAAAUAUGAAUGCUUGAUGAUUAAGCUGAAGAUAUUUGGUAUGAUGAUAAUCUUGGUAUAAAUGUAUAAGUGGUACUAUAAUAAACAAGGUAAAAUGAGUAUGAGAGACACAUGUAUGAUGACAUACAAAUGUUAUGUUUGUGGUUUAAUUGAGGAUGUUUAAUCAUUAAAUGAAUACCAUGUUAUAUGCUUUUGAUUUUGUAUAAGUGUGUAAGAGGUCAAGGUUGACCAAAGCUUGGAAAAUAGCCUAGGUAUAUUCCACACAGGCAGAGACACGACCAUGUGUCUCAGCCGCGUAUGGAACACGACUUUGGGACACGGGCGUGUGGAGCCUUAAAGCAUGAAAUUUCCAAGAUUUUUGUAAGUUCUCAGUUUAGUCCCAAGCCCUUUCUAAAGUAUGUUUUGGGCUCCGUAGACUCAAAUAAGGGACUGUGUAAGAGAAUGAAACGCUUUGAAAUAUGAAUAAAAUUUUAUGGCUCGUAUUUUAGUUUAAUGUUUGUAUAUUUUUCUGGUAACGCCUCGUACCUUAGCCCGGCCUCGGAUACGGGUAAGGGGUGUUACAGUUUUCCAUUCCCAUCCUUUGAAUUAUUUUCUUGUUAUACCAAACCGACCCAUUUAUCCAUCACCCAUCUUUGCUACACAUAACCGAACCUAUUACUAAACUUACCCUUCUUGAAACCUUCCGCUUAUUCUAAUCCAUUAUUUUACUUUAAUUACUAAAAUCCGAGACACGAACGACUCUCUCGAACUACGAUCGAGCAACUACGUGAAUUCGACUCAUCUACCCGGGCCGGAUCACAUCACUUUCCGAGCGAAAUUGUGAGGUUUGUGUUGAGGUACUUAAAUUUUUUUAUUUUGUUUUGUGAUCUAACAUUUUCUUUUCAGUAACAAAAAUCAUGUCACGCAAAGAGUUCACCAAAUCAGAAUACCAAUACUUGGUACAAGAAAUGCAAAGAAUGGUGAAAUCCAAAUUUGAUAAGUUGCAUGAUAGAUUAGAUCGAUUGGAACAAAGAGAUCCACGAGAACGAGUUUCAUCAAGGUGAAACAUAGAGUCGAGAACCCCACGAAGAUAUACACCCAAUUAUUACUUGAGAAAAGAGUCCCAUUGUGAUUCCUGUUCGACAUCGACUUCAAGACCAAGAGAUUACUAUCAAGAUUCUUUUUUGUCAAGGAAUUCUAGAAGUCAAGAAGCCGACUAUGAUUUUUACUCCGUUCGAGAAGACGUCCAAAAUGAAAUCCGAAGAGAUAGAUAUACCUCUUCCCAAACUUUAAACAAAUCAUUCAAGGAGUGUUCUACACGAAGUUUUUCACAUGCAAAUAGUUCUUGGCCUUUCGAACAUGAUCUCUAUUCUCAUGAUUCUUUUGUACAUUCUUGUAACGAGAAAACAAAGAAAAGAAAAAGCAAAAGAAGAAAAAGAAAACGAAAUAAAAAGAAAAGAGCGGCAAGAGGCAAGUAAGAGAGAAAAUGAGUGAAUCUUGAGAGAACUUGAAAAAGCCUUUAAGAAAGCUUUGGAAAACAAAAAGGAAAUGAAAAAGAAAAUGAGAUUGAAAAAGAGAAUGAAAAAGAGUUUGAGAGUGGAAAAGAAGAUGAAAAAAAAUUGAAAUAAAAGGAACGAGUGAUUCAGAAGAAAAAGAAUCAAGUGAGAAAACAAGUAAGCAAGUGAGGAUUAUCUCUACUAACCCACAUGUUCGAUCUUCUUGUGAGUUAACUUUUCAGGUUCCUAGAAGAUUGUGCGACCAAUUCCAUCUACAUUACCUUCCAAACGAGAGGUGUUUUAGGUUGUUCAAAAAAGGUAAGUUCACGAAUGACAGCCACCCACUUGCAAUUGAAGGUAAGAAAGGUAAGGAUUCCUUAUUUAUGGAUUCGAUGCCGUUUAAAUACAAAGUUGCUCAUAUAGAUUUUUAUGGCCUUAUUUUUGAAAAUCUUCCAUCUUUUGAUUUGGUUAAUUACUGUUUACAUAUUAAUGUUAAUGAUGUUGUUUCAACAAUGUCAUGAAAAUUCCAUCUUAUGACCUGUUUUAUAACGACAAUUCUAUUGAUUCUGCUGGAUUGGUUCAUCUUGUGCAAAUUGUGAAUGUGUGUGAUAACAAUUUUUCACAUUCUGAUUUGCUUGAUUAUAAAAAUUCUUUGAAUUCAUCUUUCUGUUUAAACGUGCCUAUUCAAAUGAUUUGUGAUGGAUUUGAAUUUCUGAAAGGUCGCAUGAUCACAACUUCUUUGCUCGAUAUAUGCGUUAAAAGAUUUUUGCAUGAAAUAAUUGAUCUGUUUGACUUUGUUCUUCAAGAUAAAUCUCUGAAAUUUUGUGCAAGAUUUCCAUACUUUGAUCUAUCUGUUCAAGUAGAAAUUACGAUGCAAGAUUGUUUGAGUAUUUGCAUGUUUAAGUUUCCUUUGAUUUACUUGCAUGAUAACAUGUUCAUCAUUUCUUUGGUGAUAAAAUGAAUAUGCUUGGUUGUGCCAAUUUUUCAAGUCUAAUUGAACGAGUGAAAUUUGAAUCAUGCAAUGAGUUGAUUAUAUUUUCCUUAUUUAACAUGUUUCCUGCUAAAUCAAAUGACCAAGUUCGUGUGUUCAAGCCUGGUAUUUGCUACAUAAAUUCAUUUUAUGGAAACAUUAAGCACUUUGCAUCAUUUGCAUUCAAAUUAUGUUUGCUUGAUGUUUGAACUUUUGAUAAGAAGGUGAAAUUCAAUGAUUUGGGUUUCAAUUUUUAUUCGUUUACUAAUCACCUUGUUUGGCCACAUCUAAAAUUUUUGUUCCAUUUUGAGAAGGUAAGAUCUACUUAUGCUUUGGGACUUGAAUCAAAUUUCAACGAUGAUUUUUUUUUUCAGUCUAUACCUCCUAUUGAAACUAACCUUUUACAUUUUUGUGAAUGUAACCCUUUAAAAAGCACAAGCUGUCACAGUGCUUCGUCACCUACCCAAGUUGAUCGAGAUAAAAUGUUUGUUUUACAUUAUUUGACCGAAGAGAGAAGAUUCAUCUUGUUUGAAAAAGGUAAAACCGAUCAUAAAUUUUCUUCUCUUCAAGAUCGACAAGGUAAAGUUUACGAAAAUUUUCAAAUACCUUUACUCUAUUCAAAUGUUGUUGAGAAUCUUUUUGAUGGUUUGAUGUUUGGAAAUUGUUUGUACCUUGUUGUGAUUGAUUGUUGUCUUUGGCCUAGUAGUGAUCCAUUUGUGUUGGAAAGUGAUUACACAAAUCAUGUUGUUAAUAAGCAAAAGAGUGAGUUAGUUUCCAAUUGGCCAUGGUACACUUUGCGUGUACAUUCCCAUGAAUUGUUAUUUUUGAAUAAAAAUAUUGAAAAGUUUUGUUGUGGAUUAACGUUUUUAUUAUUGUGUGAACACCUAGAUGCCGAAUUUGAAUGGUCAUCUAUGUGCCUAUAAAUAUUUGUUUUCUUUCAUUUGUAUAGAGGUUUUUUUUUGAACUUUGUUUUAUUGUUUCUUUGUUAAUGAAACUAUUUGGAGAGGAUCUUUCUCCCAUAUUUCGUUGAAGACUUGUUGGCCACCCUUAUACUGAGGUUCCUACUUUGCUAAGUAGCGGGUCGAGGUUUAUCACUUUCAUCCUCUACCUUGAAAGCCUAUAAGCAUUUGGGUCGAUAUUUUCUAAUAUUGGUUCAUGCUUGGUUUUAAGACCCCUUUCUUCCAUAUCCAUCAUUAAACCAUUAUACAUAGCUUCCGUCCUAUUUUCCUAUCAACUUCAUUCCAAAAGCGAAUUGAACGAUACUUUCUCUUAGAUGAUCGGGCAACUCAGCAUACGACUCGACUCUCCCCGAGGCGGUUCGUAUCAUAUAAACUAUCAAAAGUACCAAAACAGUGACGAUAGUGUAGAUGAUUUUGAACUUGAAAUCCCCGAGCUCGUAGCUUUCAACAAAAUCUAUAAAAUAGGACAACACAAAACAUUCACAGUAAGCCGUUAAGCUUAGUAAGUCUUAAGUAUCUUAAACAACAAAACUUAAUUAUACACAUUAUAUCAUAUUCGAAAUAUAAGACCAAUUGACCGAAAAUACAUAACCACGUAAAAUCCAUUUCAACUACUUAUUAUUUCUUCAGAGUUCGAAUUGAAUAAUCAUACCUUCUAAAUGACUCGUAGUAACUCAUCGAUUCAACCUUAUAAUUUCAAUGAUCAUAAUUAUAUGUAUAUAACUAUACUUCUAUGUACUAAAUUCAAGAUGGCCGAAUAUAAAUAUACACAACCACCAUCCAUAUACUUCUCAUUUCAAUUCAUACUUUAAUUCACAUCUCUUCAUAUGUAUAACAAUUUAUACGUACCUGGACAAUUUAAUCUAUCGAAUGAAUCUAGAUAUCGUAUAGUUUAAUCUCAUAUUCAUAGACUUUUAUUAUUUCACCGGUAAUUUGCCUGCUAAGUAUAAACCCGAACUUAACACCGGCACGAGGCCUGCUAGGUAUAAACCUGAAUUUAUCACUGGUACGAGGCCUACUAGGUAUAAACCUAAAUUUAUCACCGGCACGAGGCCUGCUAGACAUUAAGUCUGAAACUCAUUCACCGGCAUUAUGUCUGCUAGGCUCAUGGCCCGAAACAAUUCCACCUGCUAAAAGCUUGCUGAGCUAUAGGCCCGAAUAAUAAUUCGAAUACAAAUUUCACAAAUUCAUAACAUAUACACUUCUUAUAUUUAUGCAUUUCACAUAAGCUAAUCACAUUAGUCCUCUUUGACUUCAUUCACGUAUAAUCACUUGAUAACUAUCACACUAUUGCUUCUUAAUUUACCAUUACAUAUCUCCAAUCUAAUGAAUACAUCUCAUAGCAAGAUGAUCAUAACAAAUUUCCUUAUUUAAAUCUCAUGCAUACUAUUCGGCUUCAAGUAUGUGUAUAUAUAUACACUAAAGGUAUGGCAAAUUUCUCGUGACAUAUCAUGAUUCAUUCAUAAAUAGCUUAUGUUUAAAUACUGAAAACUUACCUCGAGUGAUACGAUCCGCCUCGAGGUGAGUCGAGUCGUAUGCGAGUUUGCCCGAUCGUCUACGAGAAAGUAUCGUUCGGCUCUUUUAAAGAAGAUGUUUUUAGGUUAAAUAAUGCAGAAGCUUUUUAAAAAGGGUUUGAAGAUGGGUUUGAGAUAUGAAUAAUAAAGGUUUGGUUUUAAAUGAAACAAAAGAAUGAAAAUAGAUUGAAGGUAGUUUAAUAAAUGAUGGUUAUGAAGAUGAUACGAGUCACAAAAGCCCAAAUUCUUGAAGGCGAGGCCCAAUAAGCAAAUUCCCAGCCCAAUCAAGAAAUCCAUCCAUACUUAGUUGAAAAUCAGGCCAAAUUGUCAAAGUGGCCCAAGUUGUAAAGUUUUAUUUUUAUUUUUAUUUAUUUAUUUACUUAGUUUAAAUUUUUAUGUCAAUAUUCAGUCUAAGAGUCCCAGAUAAAAUGACCUUUGACCGAAUUUCCAUAUUAAAAUAAUUAGGAGUUUUUUUUAUUUUAGUUUUCUAAUUAGAUUAGGACUAGUUAUAAGGCCUAUUUAAAGGCAUGGCUGUCCACCUUGUUAAACACUUAUCAUUAUUAUUAAAAUUUCAGAUUUGUUGAGAGCAGAAUUUUCUUUGAGUUUUCUCCAAGAUUUCUCUCUUGAGUUUUCUUUAGAAGUUGUUUUAACAAUCUUUUGAUUGUGGGAGCCAUCUUCAACCUUCUUCUUGCCAUUGAUAUUCUUUGGAGGGGAGAUUAGAGCCGUUUGAAGGGAUUUGUGAAAUCUUUCGGGAUUUCAAGGAUCUUUAGGACUUUCUUUAUUUCUUGCUGUUUCAUUUUAUUUCUUUAUUCCUACUUAUGCCGAUUCUUUAUCUCAUUUGUUUGCUGUUCUUCUUGUGUCUUUCCAGCCAUAUUCAACUCAAAGAAUCGAAUUAAAUCAUCAUUCAUUGGCAGCAAAGAGUCGUUCUCAAAAAACCCCCAAUUCCUAGGGUUUGGCCAAUUGGAUCUCUUUCAAUUUGGGAAUCAAUUGAUUGCUGGAAAUUGGGCAUUCUUGGCCGAAUCAAUUCCUUGGCAGAUUCGCAUCUUUUCUUUCUUCUCAAUUUCGUUUGAUUCAUCGAUUCUAUUUCUUUUCUUCUUGCUGCUCUUUUAAUUGAAUUUGGGAAUUUUAAAUUCAAAUCUGAUUUGGUUUAAUCUUAAUCUUUGUUUCUGUUUUCAGAUCUAUUUGUCUAGGACCUUUCGUAGGAGUUUCUCGUGACUUGGCAACUCGAUCUUGGUCCGCGCGCAAUGCUAUAUCAUUUGGUAUCAGAUUUUGGGCGUUUUGGGUGUUCUUGGUUGAUUUCUAAACUGAUCUCUAUUUUUUACAGCAUAAACAGCAGUUUUACCCAGAAAAAUUGUUCAAAAAAAUUCAUUUGAGUGGGUAAACGUUGUCUGAUUGAUCUGAAAUUUUACAUACAUGUUUUUGGAACUGUGAUUGAAUAUAAAAAAAUUAUUCCCGCAAAAAAAUCAGUCAAAAAAGUCAAAAAAAUCAAAAAAUACGAAAUUCAAUAAAAAUUUAAAAAAAGAUUCAGCGGAUUGAAUUUGGUGCCCAAAAUUUCCAGAUCAAAAAUUAAAUAUAUAAGGACAUUCCAGAUUUAAUUUCGUGAUUUUUGGAUAUCGGGAACACCUCGAACGAAGUUGUCAAGUUACUCCGCAGUUUUUCGGGUUUUCUGUUUUCAGCAAUUUUUAUUGGUUCUUAGCUGUAGGUUUUCAUUUGUUUACCUUUAUUCUUCCUUUACGUUAUCUAACACCUACUUGUUUCUUGUGUUAGUAGGAUUUAAACGUGUGCACAACUUCUUCCUCGGUGCAACACGAAUCAAUUGGUGUCUCGUCAGUUUUUGGCAUCCUAGUGCAAAUUAGGAUUCUUUGGUAGUUUGGUUCACACUCUCUAAUUGGUUGGUAUAAACUCUGAUAAAGAACUCACAAGAUUGAAUUCGACCUCAUUGAGAAUUUGAUUUUUUCUUUUUGAGUGAUUAACUGUGAGGUUUGAUAACUUUUAUUUUUGAGUGUUGAGUGUUUUGCAGGUUUUAAAAAAAAUGUCUACAGGUUAUAAUAAUAGUGACAUAUUUAAAAAAUUCCAACAACAGUUGGAUGAACAGGCUGCUGCUCUUCGAGCUUUGACUGCUACCAUCAAUGAGGUGCAAGUGAAUCAAAAACAUCAAUAUCGAGAUCCAAUUAAGGAAGAUAGGGAUAACCAGCCCCAUAGGUGCAGCCCUCAACGUGUCCCUAGAAUGGAUGAUGAUUUUCAUGAUCGUGGACAAUCAUCUUUCGCAAAACCAAAGAGCGAGCAGCAAUGAGAACAUCUCUUUCAUACUCGCUGCCAUGUACAAGGUAAGCUUUGUAGAGUUAUUAUUGAUGGUGAAAGUUGCUCGAACAUAGCCAGCACGACGAUGGUGGAAAAGCUUUGCUUAACCACUACCAAGCAUCCACAACCUUAUCAACUACAAGGGCUUAGCAACGAAGGCCAAUUUAGGGUCACUCAACAAGUGCGCAUUGCCUUUUCUAUCGGUAAGUAUCAAGACGAAGUUGUGUGCGACGUAAUGCCUAUUCAAGCCUGCCAUUUUUUGCUAGGAGAACCAUGGCAACUGGAUCGAAAAGUCACUCACGAUGGUCGUACCAAUAGGUAUUCUUUCAAGCAUCAAGGAAAGAAACUCACCUUAGUGCCGCUCACUCCGGAACAAGUCCAUGAGGACCAAAUCAAACUGAGAAAUUCUGUUAAAACAAGUGAGGAAAAAGAAAAAGAGAAUGAAAAAGAGCAAAAAGAGAUUGAGAGUGAAAAUGAAUGUGAAACAGAAAAGAAAAUUGAAAAAGAAGUUGAAGAAAGAAGAUAAAAUGAGUUAGAAAAAGAAACAAAAGAAAAAGACGAGGAAAGGCUAGUGAGGAAUGUUUUCACUAACCAAGAUAUGAAUUUUUCUUGUGUUGCUACUUUUCAGGUUCCCGAAGGACCGAAAGAUAACUUUCAACUUCAAUACCUCUCAAAUGAAAGACGCUUUCAUACGAUCAACUUAGGCAAAGAUGAAAUCACACUACAUGAUCCCGAAGGUAAGCGAGGUAAGGAAAUUUUAGAAACCGAGUCCAGUGCAGAUUUGAAAAUUAUUGAUAAAACUUUUGGUGACUUAGUUCUUAAAAGAUCCCCUCAUUUUGAUCCGAUUAAUUGUUACUCUUCGAUUGUGGUUGAUAAAGUCAUUACGAAAAGAAGCGUGAUUUGUUAUUCUCUUGAUUUACCUUGUGUAAAAUCCUCGAAUUUGUCCAAAUCUGUUUUGGAGAAUAAGGUAACGAAAUUUUCCAAAUUUGUUUUCAAUUUAUAUUCGUACCUUAAACAGUUUAUGUGGUUGUACAUGAAGUUUGAGUUCCAUUUGACAAAGGUUAACUCAACAACGGAGAUUCGACUACACUAUGCCCCCGAUGAGCGAAGGUUUGUUUUAAAUGAAAAAGGUAAAAUCGACCCUUAUUCUUCUGCUUAUCGAGGUAAGAUGCUUGAAACCUUUGAAACACUUUUGUACUCCUCAGAUAGUGAUAAAGAUCGUGUUGAUGAACACUUAGAUCGAAACGUGCUUGACUGUCCUAUUUUAUUUAUUGAUGAUCUAUCUGUUUUGAUGGUUGAUAAAAAGAUUCUUGUUUUUGAUAAUGCAUGCGUGAGUGAAUCUAUAGACCGUCGAUUAAUGCAUGGUAUGAUUAUGCAACUCUGUGAACCAUGUGAAUAUUUUCAAAUACCUACUUGUGACGAUUAUGUUUACCAUUUGAUUUAUUACUCACAAUUUAUUCAUGGUUUGUGGGAACAAUGUGAGACGACUGAAUGCCUUAAAACAUGUCCAUCUUUGUUUCAAAUAUUUGACGAGGCAGUGAUGAGUAAAUUAGAUUGUUUGCAUGGUAAUCUGAAUCUGUCCAUUCACAUGCGUUAUACCUGUUCUGUUAUGCUUAUGAUUGGACUACAAGCAUGUUUCCGUUGCUAUUUACUAUCUCAUGGCUAUUCUUUUCAGCGGACUCAAUUGCCAUUAGUCCCGUUCGAUAGAGGAAAGAGUCGAGUUCAUUUGAUUUUUCAGAUUCGAGGACGAAUCUUUUUGAGGAAGGGGGGAAUGAUACGAGUCACAAAAGCCCAAAUUCUUGAAGGCGAGGCCCAAUAAGCAAAUUCCCAGCCCAAUCAAGAAAUCCAUCCAUACUUAGUUGAAAAUCAGGCCAAAUUGUCAAAGUGGCCCAAGUUGUAAAGUUUUAUUUUUAUUUUUAUUUAUUUAUUUAUUUACUUAGUUUAAAUUUUUAUGUCAAUAUUCAGUCCAAGAGUCCCAGAUAAAAUGACCUUUGACCGAAUUUCCAUAUUAAAAUAAUUAGGAGUUUUUUUAUUUUAGUUUUCUAAUUAGAUUAGGACUAGUUAUAAGGCCUAUUUAAAGGCAUGGCUGUCCACCUUGUUAAACACUUAUCAUUAUUAUUAAAAUUUUAGAUUUGUUGAGAGCAGAAUUUUCUUUGAGUUUUCUCCAAGAUUUCUCUCUUGAGUUUUCUUUAGAAGUUGUUUUAACAAUCUUUUGAUUGUGGGAGCCAUCUUCAACCUUCUUCUUGCCAUUGAUAUUCUUUAGAGGGGAGAUUAGAGCCGUUUGAAGGGAUUUGUGAAAUCUUUCGGGAUUUCAAGGAUCUUUAGGACUUUCUUUAUUUCUUGCUGUUUCGUUUUAUUUCUUUAUUCCUACUUAUGCCGAUUCUUUAUCUCAUUUGUUUGCUGUUCUUCUUGUGUCUUUCCAGCCAUAUUCAACUCAAAGAAUCGAAUUAAAUCAUCAUUCAUUGGCAGCAAAGAGUCGUUCUCAAAAAACCCCCAAUUCCUAGGGUUUGGCCGAUUGGAUCUCUUUCAAUUUGGGAAUCAAUUGAUUGCUGGAAAUUGGGCAUUCUUGGCUGAAUCAAUUCCUUGGCAGAUUCGCAUCUUUUCUUUCUUCUCAAUUUCGUUUGAUUCAUCGAUUCUAUUUCUUUUCUUCUUACUGCUCUUUUAAUUGAAUUUGGGAAUUUUAAAUUCAAAUCUGAUUUGGUUUAAUCUUAAUCUUUGUUUCUGUUUUCAGAUCUAUUUGUCUAGGACCUUUCGUAGGAGUUUCUCGUGACUUGGCAACUCGAUCUUGGUCCGCGCGCAUUCUUGUAUCAGAAGAUGGUGAACUUAAAAGCAAGUAAAAACCAAUAUUAGGAAAUAUUGACCCAAGUACUUAUAUGCUUUCAAGGUGAAAAUGAAAAUGACAGAACCUCGACCCACUACUUAACAAAGUAGGAACCUCGGUAUAUGGGUGAACGCCACACUAUUUGAUAGUGAUAAGUUCGGGAUAGUGAAGAACAGGGUUGACACCACUAGGCUUCCUAGAUAAGCCAACGAAGUCCUCAACGAAAUAUGAGAGAAAGAAAUCUCACAAAUUCCAUGAAAGUUUAACAGAGUUUCAUUAAGUGAAAAGUCUAACAAAUGUCUAACCUUUUACAAAUGAAAUUUAACAAUUAUUUAUAGCCUAAAAACUAAGGGUAACCUAUUAGUCAUAUGGGCAUUCAAGGGGACGACAACUUAAAAGCUAAGCAAGAAGGAAACUCCCAUGAAGCUUCUUGAUCCUUUCCAGAAUAUUCUUGUCAUGAAAAUCUCAAUGGUUGGUCUCUAGAAGAGAUGAUUCGGCUGGCCUCUUUAAUGGAAAUGUCUAUGUUCAGCCAAGGCACUCUAGCAACUGAAAGGCCUUAGGUGUGAACGCUCCAAUAUGCUCCUUGGAGAACAUAAUCGAUCAGUCUUGAAAAGAGCAAGCAUCACUUGUAUUUAGUGCCGAAAAUAGCAGCAUAUUUAAUUUGGGCGGUAAGCCUUCUUUAUUGCCAUCAGCUUCAUUAAAACGUUCAUGCAUGAAAAGUCCAACCACUCCUUAAAUGCUUGCUUUUCACAAAGUCCUCAUUCAUUGUGCCACCCAUUGCUAGGGAAAAGAGUUCAGCAGCCCUUUAAAUGCUGUCCCACGCAUGCUGCUCCUUUAAUGCAUGUUUGUUUUUGACCGAAUGGCCAUUUGGGAACACCAACCAGCAGCCUUCAAGCAUUAAUCACGUUUUAGGGCCCUAUGCAGCUCUUUAAUGUUGUUCCAUGCACCAGCAACUCAAUUAAUGUGUCGUCCAUGCCUUGUUCACUAAUUAAUUCGGCUGUAGCAAGAAAACACAUUAAAUUUGGCACAUUCAACCUGCAGCAAAGUUGAGACAAUUUAAAUUCAUGGUUUUAAUCACAAAACAUAUUAAUAACAUGUCUAAACAAGGACAUAUUUAUGACCCACGUUUUAAUGCUAGGACAACCAUUAAAUUCGGUUUAGACAAAUAAAUAGCAGCAGCCAAUUAAUUUGUCUUAAACUUAACAUAUUAAAUUCAUGUCCUAAACUAAGACACAUUAAAAACUUUAUUUAAUUAUGUAUUGAUUUGACAAAUUAAAAAGAGCUAAUUAUUUUAAAGCUAACUAAAUAAACUAACUUAAUUAUUUCAGCAAAUUAAAAUGCAAGAAAAUAAUUUUGAAUCGAGCUUAAUGAGCUUCCGUCAAAACGAAAUUAAAUCGGUAACAAGCUGAAUUGAGCUAGGUGAAGCUUGAGGAGUUGGAAACGAGCUAGGAUCAGCUUGCCAACAGUCACGGCUUGACUAGGGAGACUUGUUCAAAGAGGUUCGCUGGGCACGCCCACAUCAUUCCCCCCUCUUUUAGGCGACUUGUCCUCAAGUCGAACCGUUUGUCUAAAGGACAAUGUUUUUUCUUGCUUGGCUUUCCUCGGUCGAAUAGGACAAAGGAUAUCAAGCAAACCUGAAAUUGAUUCACCAAUGGACAAGUUAACACAUCACCAUCAUAAAUAAGUAGCAGAGGGUUAAGACAAUAAAACCCAAUAGAUAACCCGAAUGUUGAGCAAAAGACGAAUCUUAUCUUACCGAAUUGACUUACCAAUUUUGGCAAUGACAAGUGGAAAGUAUUUAAAUUCGGAUGGUGCAUGUAAAAUUUAGCCCAAAGGUCAUAUGGCAAGAAUUUUAUUCAUUCAUAACCUGGAUACUUCACAUUUUCGCACAAUUUCGAUAUGUCAUCAAUAUGAUCAAUUGAACAAAAUGGAAACAAAGAAUGAUCAAUCACGCAUCUUAACAAAUAAGAAUGAAUUCCUCGUUCAAACCACAACAUUCCAAAUGGAUCAAAACAAACCUCAUUUUGCCGUAUUCGAUUAAAUGGAAUAAUAUGGCCACUAUCCAUAAAAUCAUUACUAACAACACCGAGUUCUUCUCUUUUUAAACAAAGUAAAGGCAUUUGUGACUUACUUUGUAAGUUACAUGAUACAAGUUCAAAUUUACCUUGUUCUCGCAGAUCAAACCUUCGCUCCUUAGCAAGGUAACGCAAUCGAUAAUUUGAACUCGAACAAACCUGUAAAGGUGAAAAGUCAAAAAGACAAUUCUUGCUUUUCAAAAUAUAAGUUCUACAUGAAUGGAAAAUGUUAAGGUCACCACGAGAAAUGUACUUAAAAGGACAGGAUAAAAUGUUAUUCACAGAUGGAAUGUCUGAUUCAAUUCCGGGAUUAAAAAAAAUUCAGAAUCAAAAACUUGGUUUUGAUUUUGUAAUCCAGCCACAUGCUUUAUUUCCAAAAAUAAAGAUAAGACUCGAAGAAGAUGAGAAGGUAAAACAAAGUUACUUACAAUAAGAUCACAAUGCUUACCUUUUCUUGGAAACAACUCGAAAUUGCUUACUCCCGGCUUAAAGACUCGGUUUUGAUCACUUAUCCCAAAUUGCAACAAAAAUUUCAUUUUCACAGAUAAGUCGCAAAAGUGAAUCAAAGAGACUUUAAAUUGACAAAUACACAAGCAUUCAUGCUUCAUAGAUCCUAGUCGAACAAACAGUCCAAAACAUGGAAAUUUCACAUAGAAAUUCAAAGAUUUCUCUUGGAGAGCAAAAUCAAAUAGAUCAAAUAUUUCAUGCAAAAAUCUUUUAAUGCUUAUAUCGAGCAAAGAAGUUGUGUUCAUGCGACCUUUCAGAAAUUAAAAUCCAUCACAAAUCAUUUGAAUAGGCAUGUUUAAACAGAAAGAUGAAUUCAAAGAAUUUACAUAGCCAUACUUAUCAAAAUGUGAAAACCUUUUAUCACAUACAUUCACAAUUUGCACAGGAUGAACCAAUCCAACAGAAUCAACAGAAUUGUCGUUAUAAAACAUGUCAUAAGACAGAAUCUUCAUGGCAUCUUUUGAAUCAACAUCGUUAACAUUAAUAUGUGAACAAUAAUUAGCCAAAUCAAAAGAUGGAAGUUUUUCAGAAGUUAUGCCAUCAAAACCUUUAUGAGUAAUUUUUAAAUCAGGCGGCCUUGAUUCGAUAAACAAAGAUUCCUUACCUUCCUUACCUUCAAUUUCCAAUGGGUGGCGAUCGUCCAUGGACUUACCUUUUUCAAACAACUGAAAAUGCCUCUCAUUUUAAAGGUAUCGAAGUUGGAUUUGGUUGCACGGACUUUUAGGAACCUAAAAAGAAAGAUCACAAAAAGAUCGAGCAGAAGUGUUAGUAGAAAGAAUCCUCGCUUGCUCACUAACAUCGUUUUCACUCGAUUCUAUUUCUUUUGAAUCACUCGUUUCUUUUAUCUCAAUUUCCUUUUCCACUCUUUUUUCUUGUUCACGUUCUUUUUCUCUCUCAAACUCUUUUUCAUUCUGAUACGAACCCGCUAUUCCAUAAGUCGAGUCCGAGCCGAGAUCCGAUGGUGCUACCUCAAGGGCCGAUCACAAGGGCUCGUGCAAAACAAUUUAAAGAAGCUAUUAUAGCUUUAGUUCAGCCAGUGUGGGAUGAUGUUAAUGCUAGACCUAUCGAACUAGCUGGUGGCAAUUUUGGGAAUCCAUGCCGAACUUUUCUACAAGUUCAAUUCAGCUCACCGAGCUCACCUUCAGCUCAAGUUAGCUCCCAUGUAGCUCCACACCAGCUCAUUAGCUCAGAUCCAGCUCAUUAUUAGCUCACGAGUUUAAGCCCCGCUCGGGUUUAGCUCAUGAAUUAAACAUCAGCUCGUGGAGUUCACUUUGAAUUCAUUUGACUACUAUUGACUUUUUAUUUAAUAAGUUAUAUAAAUAGUUAAUUAAUAUCCUACUUAUUAAAUUUAGUUCACAUUAGUUAUAUUAAGUAUGUCUUAAAAGUGUUUAUUGAUGAUAAAUAAAUUUGUCAUAACCGAAUUUAAUAUUGAUAUUUGUGUUCGCAUUAGUUUAAAUUAAUCCUGUUCACAUUUCUUGUAGGAACGCAAUGGACAUAUGGAGAUUAAAAGCAAGCAUGAAUUUUGAAAGGUGCAUGGACGGUUGGGGGACUUGAAUCUCUUAGGCGCAUGUUCGGCUAAGUGCAUGUAUGACCAUAUUCAAUGUCUUCAAGGUUCAUGAAUGUUUCCAUUCAUGUAUGGUGUGCUAUCUCUUCAUUCUUCAAGGUGACCAUUCGGCCAUAGGACACUCACACAUGCAUGAAGAUAGCUUGGCCAAUUAACUUCCCCAUGACUCUCCUUAAUUCGUUUCACACCUAUGUUCACAUGGCAAGACUCGGUUCACCUUGUUCACUUUGGAAGACUCUUUGAUACGAAUCCCGACGUAUCAUGGUUUGACACAAUUCGACAAUAUCAAGCAUGGCCUAAGUUCGAGGGGCCCAAGUUCAAAAUGAAGCCUGAUCUUAAAUUUCAACGAGCUCAAUUCAGCCCAAUUUUAGCUCAAUGAGCUCGUUUGCUCAUUUUUCUAGUUUAUUUUAAUUUAAGCAUUUUAUUAGUUGCUGGAAUAAAUUAAUUGUGAUACAGCAUGCCCCACGAACUUCAUCGAACAAGCCUAUCAAGCCGAGCAUUGACAUGUUGGCAAGCUGAUCCAAGCUCGUUUCUAGCUCCACAAGCUCCGUCCACCUCAAAUCCAGCUUAUUCGAGCUCAAUCCAACUUGCCUGAGCUAAACCGAGCUUACUCCUAGCCCAUAUUGAUAUGAUCUCGGUUUAGUAGUUGAGUCCGAGUCGUUUGAUUCCCAAUCUUAAACGAAGAAGUAGAUUAGAUGAGAAGGAGUUAGAAUAUAUUUGUGUACAAAGAAGUAAGAUAAGUUCGUGCAAAGUUGGAUAUGGAUUUGGUUUAAGUCGAAAUGGUAUGAAUAGAAUGGAAGAGUUCGGUUUAGGUUAAUUAAGAAAUGGUAUUUGGUUUUGGUACGUUUUGGUAUUUGGGAAUUGGUACGAAAUGGUAUGGAAUUGGUAUGAAAUGGUAUGGUAUUUGGUACGAAUUGGUAAUGGUUCAAAGAGGUCAAGAAUGAACCAACACUAAAGAAAAGUGUCGACCCGAAACUUAUAGGACCUAAAUGAAUUGGAAAUGGUUAAAAAGGACCUUGACCCGAUACUUAGGAAAGUAUGAACCAAAGGUAUCAAAGGUGAACGCCACACUCGGGUUUAAGGAGUGAUAAGUUUGGAAAAGACUCGAAAAGACACCACUAAAAGCUUAGAUAAGUCUUACAGGCCUCGAACAAAAUUUGAGAGAAAAUGCCUCACAAAUUUGGCAGCAAUUCGCUAAUUAAAAUGUCAAAAAGUUCCUUACAAAGUAAAAAAAUUCAGCUAUUUAUAAUAAUCUCCUAAGUUAGCCGAAUGGUCUCUUUCAAUCCUUAAGGAGUAAGCAAAUGAACCACUUGAAUGUGCUAGCUAGAUUCGGCUGAACUUGACAAGCUUCUAGAACUCCCAUUGAACCUUGGUCACUUUGAAUGGUGCAUGAAGAAGUUAAAUUCAGCCAAUGUACAUAAAUGAACUCAUUUAAGUUGUAUCUUUUGCUGAAAAGUGACCAGCCAUUAAGAGGGAUUUGAAUGGCCAAAUGAAGUGUGAACACUCGGUUUCAAAGAGUCUUUGUGUGUGAACAUUCCAAACCGAAAAGCCAAGAGUGUGAACUUCAUGUGUGAACGGCAUUAUGCUGGUUCUUGAAUCAUUUAAAAUCAGCUGAACAUUCCUCAUGCAUGUAACGCCACAUUCAUUGAACCUAUGUUGCAUGCACCUAGCUUAAAUGCUUCCACCCACAUUCGGCCAACCUACACAACAUGAACAAAUGAAUUUAUUUGAUCAUUAUUCAGCUGAAUCAUAUUAAAAACGAAAUUUAGACAACAUUAAUCCAAAUAAUUAAAACAAAACUCAAUUAAUUAAACUAAGUCUAAUUAAUUCAGUUUGGACAAGACACAUUAAAACAUGUAUUAAGACUUAUUUAUAAGCUGUAGGAAUUUAAUUUAACUUAAUAACAUGUAAGAAAAACACAAUUAAUCAUGCAUAAUUAAAUCCAACCAGAUUUUAAACCAAAUAAAUAAUGAAUAUUAAUUGAGCUGUAAUAAACUAAUUAAAUGACUCAAAUAAUUAUUUCAGCUACUAUAAUAAGGUCUUAAUGAAACUGAGCUAGUUCGAGCUCAUUGAGCUUGAAAGGAGCUGGAAACGAGCUAAAUGAAGCUCCACAAAAUAAGAUUGAGCUACGUCCAGCUUGCAAACACGACUAGCCUCGCUUGUAGGCUGAUGCAAUGGCCGUUCCCAAGGGCGGGUCGUAUCACAUAUUCAGCUCACGAGCUAAACCUUAGCUCAGCUUCAGCUUAGGAGUUUAAUCUCAACUCAACUUUAGCUCACGAGCUAAAGCUUAGCUCAUUUUAGUUUAACUCGAUUUUGUCUUUAAUGCAUUAAAUAAAAUUUGCACAUAUUUAUUUAAGCAUUAAACUUGUCUUAUAUUAAUAUUUGUUAUUAAUAUGUCACAGAUAUCACAUAACUUAAAUGUGUUCACAUUGUGCUGAAUUUAUGUGUGUUCACAUGAUGUCUUAUGAAUUGUUUUAUUUCUUGUAGGUACAAUGCUCAUGGACGGUGCAAUGAAUGCUUGAAGAAACAUCUCUUUUGGACAUCCCAAAUGCAUGAAUGAACAACAUUUAAUUAGGUGCAUGUAUGACCAGAUUCAAGGUGUUUACAAGUUCAUGUAUUUUCCAAAUACAUGAAUGCACAAAAUACAUGAAUGCUUGGGUUCAAAUGCACAUUCGGUUACAUGAAUGAUGAAGAUUCAUGCAUGAAUGUAUCUAGAAGAUCCAAUCCCUUUGGACGGCACACAUGCAUGCAUGGAAGGAAAUUAAUGCAAGUUCAUGUAGGGCUUGGUGCAAUGUAUGAAGAGGUGCAUGUAGAAUUGAGGUUCAAUGGACGGCAUUUAAGGGAGUACAUGUAUUGGAGACGUUCAUGCAAGUAGGGGCUAUUUAAUGUUCAUGUUUUUGAAGGUUCAUGGACUGAAUUUAUGGAGGAACAUACAUUGGGACGUUUCAUGCAUGAUCCAUGCAUUUUCAAGCUAACCAUUCAAGUAUUCAAGGUGCAUUAAAGCUUCAUUCAGCCAAGGGGGAUGAUGGAACAUUAAAGGGCUGCACAUUCAUGGAUAUUCAUGAUUUUUCUUCUAGAAUUAUCUAGGUGUUUAUGGCCGAAUUUCUUAGCUUCUAAGCUUGUCCAUUCACCUACUUUUAUUUAGGCUAUAAAUAUACGUUAUUUCAUUUGUAAGAGGUUAGACUUUUCACUUAAUGAAACUUUGUUAAUAUGGAAUUUGUGAGAUUUCUUUCUCUCAUAUUUCGUUGAGGACUUCGUUCGCUUAUCUAGGAAGCCUAGUGGCGUCAACCCUGUUCUUUACUAUCCUGAACUUAUUACUAUCAAAUAGUGUGGCGUUCACCCAUAUACCGAGGUUCCUACUUUGUUAAGUAGUGGGUUGAGGUUCUAUCAUUUUCAUUUUCGCCUUGAAAGCCUAUAAGCAUUUGGGUCAAUAUUUUCUAAUAUUGGUUCGUGCUUGCUUUUGAGUUCCUUCUUUCCAUUCUUUCAUUUACUUUAAAUUGAACCUUAAUAUUCAUAUUUUAAACCCUUCAUUUGAACCCCUUGAAUAGCUUUCGCAUAAUUUAUUUAGAAACAUCUUUUUUGAAUAAACUGAACGAUACUUUCUCGUAGACGGUCAGGCAAACUCGCAUACGACUCGACUCUCCUUGAGGUGGUUCGUAUCAAAUUGAGUCUAGUUAAACUUAAUUAAAUCAGCUCAAUAAUUUGGUUGUGUUAUUUUUAAUAAAUUAAAAUCUGGACAUUUUUAAUUAUGUUUAAAUGUGUUAGUUAAAUUAGUUAAUUUGCUUAGCUCAUAAAUAUGUUUAGCUUAAUAAUUGGGUUUUAAUAUGUUCCAGCCGAAAUUAAUAUGUCUGAAUUGGAACAUGUUUUAAUUUGUUCUAGUACAGCCAUUUAACUUGUCUUAGUUUAGGACACAUUUAUUUCUUGCCCAGCCAAAUGUGGUUUAAAUUUGCUGUCAAUUUAAUAUGUUCAAAGCUGAUUAAUUUUGGUUUAAAUGUGCAGCUAUUUUCAACAUUAAAGGAGCAAGCAUGCCGAAUUCAAUGUACUUAUUGCUACAGCCGAAUUAAUUAGUGAACAAGGCAUGGACAGCACAUUAAAGAGCUGCUGGUGCAUAGGGGCAUGAAACGUGAUUAAUGCAUUAAAAAGCUGCUGGUGCAUGAAUAGCCUAGGAGCAUGAAACGUGAUUAAUGCUUGAAGGCUGCUGGUUGGUGUUCCCAAAUGGCCAUUCAGUCAAAAGAUGGCUGAAUAUUCAAUGUUCCAAGCUGAAUUAAAAGGCCAGCUGCUGUUUAAGUUUCUCUAGGUGCUUUUUCAUGAAUAACAAGGGCCAUGGCUGAUUAUAAUUAAUCCCAUUCAGCUGCUCACAUUCAGCUUCUAUAUCUAUUGUCCAUUGGCGUCCUCAAGGAGCAUUUAAGCUACCCAAGCCUAUCCAGCUGGUCAAAGCAAUAUAUUUAAUAUCAUCCACUCUCUUUGGCCGAAUAUUACAAGAUUUUCAGCUCAUUUAAUUCUCCAGCUGAUGAGGAAACUUCUAAGAAAAUUCUCAACUCUUCUAGUUGAAUUACAAAGUGACCAUUCAGCUUUCUAGGUGGCUGAUUAGCUCACCUUUAUUUUAAAUGAAACCAGCUGCAUGAAGACACCUUGGAAGCUGUCCAAAUACGUUCUUAAGGCUGGAGGAAGCAUCCUAGAAUUUCCUAAAUUUUUCUAGAAAUUUCAGCUCAUUUAAAGGUUUAAGUAAGUGACCAUUCAGCUACUUUUUGAGGCCAUUCAGUUGACCAUGUUUUAGGCUAUAAAUAAUUGUUUCAUUUGUAAAAGGUUAGACAUUUUUUUUAGACUUUUCACUUAAUGAACAUUUGUUCUUGUGAGGUUGCUUCCUCUCAUAUCUCGUACAAGUUUCGAAAGACUUAUCUGGCUUGUGCUAGUGGCGUCAAUCGUCUUGUUUGAACUUAUCACCAAUCUUGGUGUUGCGUUCACCUAUCCAUCUAUCCAUACUUUCACCUUAACAAUAUAGGAACCGGGGUGACACUUCUUAGUGUUGAAUCAUUCCUGAUGUUGAGUUCGUUUUUCAUUCCCAUCCUUCGAAUUAUUUUCUUGUUAUACCAAACCGACCCAUUUAUCCAUCACCCAUCUUUGCUACACAUAACCGAACCUAUUACUAAACUUACCCUUCUUGAAACCUUUCGCUUAUUCUAAAUCCAUUAUUUUACUUUUAUUACUAAAAUCCGAGACACGAACGACUCUCUCGAACUACAAUCGGGCAACUACGUGAAUUCGACUCAUCUACCCAGGCCGAAUCACAUCAUUUGGUAUCAGAGCUACCUAAAACAAGAAGCUUAGACGUUCGAAGCGGAGCAUUCUCGAGGUAGGUUCAGAAAAAAAAAUGUAUACCGAAGUUUUCUCAUUUCGAUUAGUUUGUUAUUGUUGCUAUAAAAAUAAAAAUCUACAUAGCCGAAAAAAAAUCGUGUACAAAAGUGUUUUUUAUUGUAUUUAGUUUGCUGAUACAGUACAAAAAAAAGUUAUACAAGUUUGAAAAAAAACCGAAAAAAAAAUUUCGAAAAAAAAAUUUGAAAAAAAAAAUUCAAUAAAAAAUUGAAAAAAAAUGAUUUAUGCAAUUCAAUUGUUAUUUGAUCGUCAAGCUUUGAUCUGAUAUAGUUUCCCGAUCCAUCUUCUGUUCUAAACCCCCUAAUCAUAUGCACGCCACACUUUCUUACCCAAUUCCCUAUUCUUUUAGCCAACCUUAAACCUAUACGCAUUUCCCUUGUUACCCUAUUGAAACCGACCCCUAAGCCUACGAUAAAGCCUUGGCAAGUCCGACUACGAAGUUGCGAGAGAAAAGAUUGAGAGGUAAAAGGCACGAGCAAGUGAGAUCAUUCGAGUGGAGGUAAAAGCCAAACGAGUGUAAACACAAGUGGGAGUGACACCUUUUUUCUUCUUCUUUCCGAGCGAAAUUGUGAGGUUUGUGGUGAGGUACUUAAUUUUUUUUAUUUUGUUUUGUGAUCUAACGUUUUCUUUUUAGCAACAAAAAUAAUGUCACGUGAAGAGUUCACCGAAUUGGAAACCAAUACUUGGUUCAAGAAAUGCGAAGAAUGGUGACUAAACGAGACUAAAGUGAUCGAGUUUCUUCAAGUCGUAAAACAGAACCAAGAAUCCCAUGGAGAUAUACCCCGACUACUACCUAAAAAAAAGUUCCAAUCGUGACUCCUUUUCGCCAUCUACGUCGAGACAAAGAGAUUCAUACUAUGACUCAUAUUCAUCAGUGAAUUCGAGAAGUGACUUCGAUCGAAAGUCCUUUUCAUCAAGAAAUUCGAGAAGACGAGAAGCCAAUUACGAUUUUGAUUCGUUCCAAGAUGGUGUUCGGAGAGAAAGACAUACUCCUAGUAUAUCUUCAAAGAAAUCAUUCAAGGAGUAUUCUUCACGAAGUUUUGAUUGUGAAUUAUACGCAAAUAGUUCUUCAUCUUUCGAACAAGAUUUGUAUUCUCAUCGUUCUUUUGUACAUUCUUGUAAAGAGAAAACAAAGAAAAGAAAAGAAAAGGCAAAAGAAGAAAAAGAAAACGAAAUAAAAAGAAAAGAGAGGCAAGAGGCAAGUAAGAGAGAAAAUGAGCGAAUCUUGAGAGAACUUGAAAAAGCCUUUGAAAAGCAAAAAGAAAAAGAACUUGAACGAGAAAAUAAAAUUGAAAAAGAGAUUGAGAGUGAGUCUUUGAAAGAAACAAUUGAAAAAGAAAAAGAGCUUGAACAUGAGAUUGCAAAAGAAUUGAGAGGAGAAGACAAGAGAGAACAAGAAAAAGCAAGGAGUGUUUUAACUAAUCGUUCUAUGAGUUCUCCUUGUAUUGUUUCUUUUCAGGUUCUUGAAGAUUCCAAUGACAAGCUACAACUUCAAUAUAUUUCCGAAGAGAGACGAUUUCGAAUGAUCGAGAAAGGUAAUAUCGAAAAUGAAAUUCUCCCUCAAGAGCUUAAAGGCAAGCAAGGUAAGGAGUCUUUAACAAUUACAUCACGGCAAACUGAUUUGAACAUUGUUGAAAAAGGUAUCGAUGACUUAAUCUUCGAAAGAUCGCUGCUCACUUUGUUGAUUAAUUGCCAUUCUCUGAUUAUUGAUGAUUUUGUUUUUAAAAGUGGUAUGAAAAGUUUUUCUUGUAAUGAGUACAGUGUUGGUAAGCUUGUUGAUGAAGUACGACUAAGUAGGUACGAACAAAAUUUGAUCUUAUGUGAUAAAGAAUUGUCACGUAAAAUGCCUAAUUCGUUUGUUUAUGAUGGUAAUGUGAAUUCUCUAUAUCGUUGUGCAUGUUUGUGUAAGUCUAAUCAAAUGGGAAUUACGAUGUAUGAGUGUUUGAAAAUAUGCAUGCUCAAAUUUUCUUUGUCUCACUUGUGUGAGUUGUUGAUGAAAGAAAGGCCAUUGUCUCUUGUAACAAUGAAUGACCAAAGUCGUGUGUUUAAGCCCGGAGCAAGUCAUCUUAAGUUGUUGCCAAGCAAAGGUGAGCAAGUCAUCUUAAGUCAUCUUAAUGUGUGAACAACUUUUGCUUACUUGAUGAUGUGUUUCUAAAUCUGAAAACAAAUUCGUUGUACCGUGAUAAUAUGCGAAUGCAAAAUCAAACCUUUGAUUCUAGAAAUUGCACUAUAGUAGGAUUUGAAGGAUUCAAGCAUGUCUUGCAUGAGUUUAACUUUCCAUUGUUUCAUAUUUCCCCUGUGUUGUUCUCAAUGAAACCUUCAAGUCGAAAUGAAACAAUAAGAGAAAACUUUGCUUCCGACACCGGAGAUUAUUGUCUUACAUCGUUUGGUAUUGAGUUGUCCAAAGGACUUGAAUCAAGUACUUUUGUUGUCCAAAACCAUAAUUUUCGAGUGCUUAAUGGUUCUGUUCUGACGAUUAUGCUUGACCAUUUUAUCCAUUGUGAAACAGUGAGGUCGUUUUCCAUCUUUGACCUUGUGAUGUGAUCCGGCUCGGGUAGAUGAGUCGUAUUCACGUAGUUGCCCAAUCGUAGUUUGAGAGAGUCAUUCGUGCCUCGGAUUUUAGUAAUAAAAGUAAAAUAAUGGAUUAGAAUAAGCGGAAGAUUUCAAGAAGGGUAAGUUUAGUAAUAGGUUCGGUUAUGUGUACCAAAUAUGGGUGAUGGAUAAAUGAGUCGGUUUGGUUACGAGAAGGAAAAGUUGAAAGAUAGGAAAUGGAAAAACGAACUCAACGCCAGGAAUGAUUCAACACUGAGAAGUGUCACCCCGGUUCCUAUAUUGUUAAGGUGAAAGUAUGGAUAGAUGGAUAGGUGAACGCCACACCAAGAUUGGUGAUAAGUUCAAACAAGACGAUUGACGCCACUAGCACAAGCCAGAUAAGUCUUUCGAAACUUGUACGAGAUAUGAGAGGAAGCAACCUCACAAGAACAAACGUUCAUUAACAAUUUUGGCAAAAAUUCCUUUACAAAUGAAAGAAAACAAAUAUUUAUAGGCACAUAGAUGACCAUUCAAAUUCGGCAUCUAGGUGUUCACACAAUAAUAAAAACGUUCACACUAAUGUAUUAAAAUAGUUCAUAAAUUCGGCAGAUUCAUGCACUAGCUGAAUGGACACUUUCUUCCCCCUUGGUUUGUGCAUGAAUGCUUAGUCAUAAAGAAAGGCUUCAAGUGACUUGUAUGUGCACCAAAAGGUUGCAUUCAUCUCCUUGGGACGUUCAUGCACUUGUAUGGAACAUGUAUCUUCAUAGUUAAACACUUUAAUGGCAUGUAAGUUCAUAAAUGGCAGCAUGAACCUAGUAAAUUCGUUCUCCCCUUUGUGCAUACACUUAAUUCAAUCAAUGUGUUGAAUUAUUGAGUUAAUUCCUUCCUUUGGACGUUCUUGAACCCAUCCAUGCAUGUGUAGUAGCUUAUAGGUCAAUUCAAAGUGUGAACAGCUACUUCUUGGCCGAAUAAGUGCCUUGGAAAGUUAGGAGAUAGCCACCAACAUGCACUUAAGCCAUUCAUGCAUUCUAUCAUUCCAUGUAUUUGAUCCAUUCAUGGACCAGCCUUUAAUGUCCAUACAUGCAUUCGACACAUGCAUGAAUUUGUAGAAACCUUGCAUCUAGCCGUAAAUGCACCAGCAUUUAAUACUUCUUCAUUCAUGAGUGUGGAAUGCCUAAAAGAGAUGUUUCUUCAUCCAUACAUUGUACCGUCCAAAGGGAUGUACCUACAUGAAAUAAACAAGUCAUUAAGAUAUCUCAUGGACACUCAUAAAUUCGGCAUGAUGUGAACACAUUAAUGUCAUGCAUUAAUUCAACUAUGUGAACAUAAUCAAUUUAUGUAAUGACUAUGGCAUAUUAAUAACAAAUAUUAAUAUAAGACAAGUUUAAUGCUUAAACAAAUAUGUGCAAAUUUUUAUUUAAUGCAUUAAAGACAAAAUCGAGCUUAAACUAAAAUGAGCUAAGCUUUAGCUCGUGAGCUAAAGUUGAGCUGAGGCUAAACUCCUAAGCUGAAGUUGAGCUAAGGUUUAGCUCGUAAGUUGAAAGUGAGCUAGGAGUGAGCUCGGUUUAGCUCAGGCAAGAUGGAUUGAGCUCGAAUAAGCUGGAUUUGAGCUGGACAGAGCUCGUGGAGCUGGAAAUGAGGUUGGAUCAGCUUGCCAACAUGUCAUUGCUCAGCUUGACAGACUUGCUCGAUAAAGUUCGCGGGGCGUGCUCGUAUCAUUCCCCCCUCUUUUAGGCGACUUGUCCUCAAGUCGAGCUAUUUAUCCAUGGGAGAACUUUGACUCGUGCAUGGUUUUCCUUGAUCAAAUGGGAUGGAUGAUGUGAUCUGGCCCAGGUUAAUCGAGUCAUUUUACAAAGUUGCCCGAUCGUCUACGAGGAGUAGUUGGAGUUGUCAAAAUUGGGUGAUUUAGGCUAAGGGUUGCGGAAGCUUUGAGAGGGUUUAGAUGAGUGGUUUGGUGUUGAUAAAUUCGGUUUAGAAUAGAAACAAGGUAGGUUAGAAAAAGGUAAUUGAUGGAGAUGGAAAAUAAAACUUAAACGUCAAGAAUGUUCAAUACUAAAAAGUAUUGCCCGAGUCUUAUAUUGCUCAAGGUGGAUUAAAUGGAUUGUCGAAGAUGGACCUUGACCCGUUACCUAUAGAGAGGUAGGAACCAAAGGUAUGAAAAGGUGGAUGAACGCCACAGCAGGAUGGUGAUAAGUUCAAGAAGUCGGGUUGACGCCACUAGCGAGCUAGAUAAGUCAGAACGAGACUCGUACGAAAUAGGAUAGGAGGAAACCUCACAAUCAAGUUUUCAAUAAUCAAAUUCUGUAACCUUUUUACAAAGAAAAAAGAACUAUUUAUAGAUUACAUUAGAUAGCCAAAUAGACUAAGUAAAUUCGGCUUUAAUUGAAUUAAACUAAUCUAGAAAUGUAUCUUUAAAGGCUAUGUCCAAAUUCAGCUGAAUGGUACUUCAAUGGGCAGCUUCAUGGCUAAGGAAAUGAACUUGAAGGCUUGGUGAAUGUAUGGGAGAGCAAUGGACAUGUCUAGGUUCGGCCAAGGUGUGAAUGGACACUCCAAGAGAUGCCUUUUGGCCGAAUAGGUACUUAGGAGAUCAAUGGACAGCAACCGAUGCAUGUAAGUGAACAUUCAUGCAUUCUUCCAUUCAUUGUAUUAAAUCAUUCAUGCAUCAUCCUUACGUUCAUUGAACCAGCCCAUUCAUGAAUCAUCUUUAAUUGUGUUCCCACAUCAUGCAUUGUAAGUAGACGUUCAUGCACCUAGCUUGAAUGAAUCUCCACAUUCGGCUGUACCUACAUGAAACAUGAACAAAUUAAUUAAAAUAGAUAUAUUAAUUAACACAUAAAUUUAAAAUAGACAAAAAUAAAGUCUUAAGCUAAACAUAUUAAAUUCGGCUAAGACAAUUUUAAAAACAUGAAAUAAAUCAAAACAUAAUUAUGAGCUGUAAUAACUUAAACUAAGUUAAUAAAAUACUUUAAUUAUUCAACCAAUAAAAUAAAUGAGCUGAAUUGUAGCUAAAUUGAGCUCGAUUGAGCUGAAAUGAGCUCAAUUGAGCUGGUCGGAGUUGAAACGAGCUAGAAAAGCUAAAAUGGAGCUGAAAUUAGCUUGCACUAAGGUGCAUGGUUUCUUCAAGGAGUUGGAUCGAGCUUCCUCAUCUUCAACAAGCUGAUUCUCCUUCCAAAACUUGAACAACAAAGCUGAAACAACUUCAUGAAAUCGCUUGGACCUAGCUCGGGUCAUUGGUCCCUUUGGAAGCUCGAGGGAAUCAAGACGAGGACUUGAUGGGGCUUGGGGCGUGGUCACAUCAAUGGAAGAUGUCACACAAACCUGAAAAAUUCUUACCACAGCCGGUAAAAAGAAACUCAAAGGAGUCAAAUUCAAAUGUGUUCGAUAGUUCAUAAAAUAUUCAUUCAAUCGAACAUAUGCCAAAAAUCUCAAUUGGACAAAGCAAGCAUACAUAAAUUUAUCAAAGAGUUUCAUUAGACCAUCGUUACAAACAUGAAAACUAAGUUGGAUCAAGGGAUAAUUGGUUAAAAAUGAUGGUAGGCACUUAAACACAUUAUUCCUCAUCCAAAACAUUUUAAUUUCUUUAAUCGAAUAUAGUAACUCAUUUGGUCCCUUGUCUUGCUCAUGCAAGGUAUGCCAUGGCCAAAGGUAUGCUAACUCUUCCUUUCGUUUUUGAACAACAUGAGGGGAGUCUCCAAAUUUCAACGUAAUAAUCACAUCAUCACAAUGCCAAAAGGAAAAAUCCAUCACAUCAAAGUAUAAAUAAUUUCCAAACAACCAAUCAAUGGAAUUUUCAACUUCAAUCGAAUUGAGCAAAGAUAUUUUAAAAUUUUCAGAUGACUUACCUUGACGAAUAUGAAGAGAAGACAAUUGAGGAUUGGGUUUACCUUUCUCGGUCAAAAUGAAUCUUCUCUCUUUGGAUAGAUAAUGUAAGACAAACCUAUUAUGCCGAUAAAUUUGAAUAGGUGGUGACGCACCAUGACAUGUCUUGCUCCUCGAGGGGUGGAAUUCACAAAAAUAAGACUGGUUAGUAUUAUCGAAAACUAUGGACUUAAAUGGAAAAGGAAAGUUACCAUGGAAAUUUGAUUCAAUUCCAAAAACAUAGGUUGGACUUACCUUUUCGAAAUGAAACGAAAAUUUCAGAUGUGGCCAAACAAGGUGAUUAAUAAAUGAAUCAAAAUUGAAACCCAAAUCAUUGAAUUUCACCUUCUUAUCAAAAGUUUGAACAUCAAGCAAACAUAUUUUGAUUGCAAAUGAUGCAAAGUGCUUAAUGUUUCCAUAAAAUGAAUUCAUGUAGCAAAUACCAGGCUUGAACACACGAACUUGUUUAGGAAUUCCAACAAGCAACAUAUUAGAAAAAGAUAUAAUCAACUCACCACACGAAUUAUAUUUCACUAGUUUAAACACACAUGUUGAUUUGACAAAACCGAGCAUACCAAAAUGCAAAGGUUCAUACUUCAAGAGUAUUAAUCGGGAAUGCAAAUCACUACAUGGAAAUUUAGCACAAAAACUCAAAGAUUGUUCAUGAAGAACACAAUUGCACAUAUCAUGUGAAGAUCUUUUAACAUGGAUGCCAAACAAAGAAUUUUUAACGAACAUGCAACUUUUCAAACAGGCAAAUUUAUCACAAAUCAAUUGAGCAGGCAUAUUUAAACAUAAAGAUUUAACACAUGAGUUCAAAAAGUUUGCAGGGUCAAACACAUCAGAAUUUUUACGUGACAGACUUUGAUCAAACAUGUUCAAAAUUUGCUUAGAGAAAACUAAUCCAAUGUUGUCAACAAAUUUGCCAAUGUAGGAAUUGUCAUAAGAAAAGCUGUAUAUGGCACCUUUUAAAACAAAUUCGUUAACAACAGUAAAUGAACAAGAAUUAUCCAAAUCAAGUCACUUUGAUUCGAUAAACAAAGAAUCCUUACCUUCCUUACCUUCGAUCGCAAGUGGGUGGUAGUCAUUCGCGAACUUACCUUUUUCGAACAACCUAAAACACCUCUCGUUUGGAAGGUAAUGUAGAUGGAAUUGGUCGCACAAACUUCUAGGAACCUGAAAAGUUAACUCACAAGAAGAUCGAACAGGUGGGUUAGUAGAAAUAAUCCUCACUUGCUCACUUGUUUUCUCACUCGAUUCUUUUGUUUCAAUUUCUUUUUCAUCUUCUUUUUCACUCUCAAAUUUAUUUUUGUUCUCUUUUUCAAUCUCAUUUUCUUUUUCAUUUUCUUUUUGCUUUUCAAAGACUUUUUCAAGUUCUCUCAAGAUUCGCUCAUUUUCUCUCCUACUUUGCCUCUUGCCUCUCUUUUCUUUUUAUUUCAUUUUCUUUUUCUUCUUUUGCUUUUUCUUUUGUUUUCUUUGUUUUCUCUUUACAAGAAUGUACAAAAGAACGAUGAGAAUACAAAUCUUGUUCGAAAGAUGAAGAACUAUUUACGUAUGAUUCACAAUCAAAACUUCGUGAAGAAUACUCCUUGAAUGAUUUCUUUGAAGAUAUACUAGGAGUAUGUCUUUCUCUCCGAACGACAUCUUGGAAUGAAUCAAAAUCGUAAUCGGCUUCUCGUCUUCUCGAAUUUCUUGAUGAAAAGGACUUUCGAUCGAAGUCACUUCUCGAAUUCGCUGAUGAAUAUGAGUCAUAGUAUGAAUCUCUUUGUCUCAAAGUAGAUGACGAAAGGGAAUCACGAUUGGAACUUUUUUCAGGUAGUAGUCGGGGGUAUAUCUCCGUGGGGUUCUUGGUUCCGUUUUACGACUUGAAGAAACUCGAUCACUUUGGUCUUGUUUAGUCGCCAUUCUUUGCAUUUCUUGAACCAAGUAUUGGUAUUCCGAUUCGGUGAACUCUUCACGUGACAAGAUUUUUGUUGCUAAAAAGAAAAUGUUAGAUUACAAAACAAAAUAAAAAAAAUUUAAGUACCUCACCACAAACCUCACAAUUUCGCUCAGAAAGAAGAAGAAAAAAGGUGUCACUCCCGCUCGUGUUUACACUCGUUUGGCUUUUACCUCCACUCGAAUGAUCUCACUCGCUCUAGCCUUUUACCACUCAAGCUUACUCUCGUAACCUCGUAUUUUGUUUCUUUCAACUUGUCUUGGUGCCUUGGGGUCGGUUUCAAGAUGGUUACAAAGGUUAGAAUGUCACGGUGUAGUGUGGCGUUUUGGGGGGGGUAAAAGUUGCUGGAAAGAAAGAUUGAAGGUCGGAACAAAAAUGUAAACAAAAGAAUAGAUCUUGAUCACACACUUUUUUUUUAUAAUUUCAUUUUUUUGUCUUUUUUUAAAACUUCACAAUAUCACUAUUACAAAAGAGAGAACGAAAAUUACAACUUGAUUUUUUUUUAAUUUCAAAUUUUUUUUAACUACGAACCUAUUUCGAUCUUGUUACAAAUGUCGGCGCCUCUCGAUUUACAAGCUCUGAUACCAAAUGAUGUGAUUCGACUCGGGUAGAUGAGUCGUAUUCACAUAGUUACCCGAUCGUAGUUCGAGAGAGUCGUUCGUGCCUCGGAUUUUAGUAAUAAAAGUAAAAUAAUGGAUUAGAAUAAGCGAAAGGUUUCAAGAAGGGUAAGUUUAGUAAUAGGUUCGAUUAUGUGUACCAAAGAUGGGUGAUGGAUAAAUGAGUCGGUUUGGUUACGAGAAGGAAAAGUUGAAAGAUGGGGAAUGGAAAAACGAACUCAACGUCAGGAAUGAUUCAACACUGAGAAGUGUCACCCCGGUUCCUAUAUUGUUAAGGUGAAAGUAUGGAUAGAUGGAUAGGUGAACGCCACACCAAGAUUGGUGAUAAGUUCAAACAAGACGAUUGACGCCACUAGCACAAGCCAGAUAAGUCUUUCGAAACUUGUACGAGAUAUGAGAGGAAGCAACCUCACAAGAACAAAUGUUCAUUAACAAUUUUGGAAAAAAGUCCUUUACAAAUGAAAGAAAACAAAUAUUUAUAGGCACAUAGAUGACCAUUCAAAUUCGGCAUCUAGGUGUUCACACAAUAAUAAAAAUGUUCACACUAAUGUAUUAAAAUAGUUCAUAAAUUCGGCAGAUUCAUGCACUAGCUGAAUGGACACUUUCUUCCCCCUUGGUUUGUGCAUGAAUGCUUAGUCAUAAAGAAAGGCUUCAAGUGACUUGUAUGUGCACCAAAAGGUUGCAUUCAUCUCCUUGGGACGUUCAUGCACUUGUAUGGAACAUGUAUCUUCAUAAUUAAACACUUUAAUGGCAUGUAAGUUCAUAAAUGGCAGCAUGAACCUAGUAAAUUCGUUCUCCCCUUUGUGCAUACACUUAAUUCAAUCAAUGUGUUGAAUUAUUGAGUUAAUUCCUUCCUUUGGACGUUCUUGAACCCAUCCAUGCAUGUGUAGUAGCUUAUAGGUCAAUUCAAAGUGUGAACAACUACUUCUUGGCCGAAUAAGUGCCUUGGAAAGUUAGGAGACAGCCACCAUACAUGCACUUAAGCCAUUCAUGCAUUCUAUCAUUCCAUGUAUUUGAUCUAUUCAUGGACCAGCCUUUAAUGUCCAUACAUGCAUUCGACACAUGCAUGAAUUUGUAGAAACCUUGCAUCUAGCCGUAAAUGCACCAGCAUUUAAUACUUCUUCAUUCAUGAGUGUGGAAUGCCCAAAAGAGAUGUUUCUUCAUCCAUACAUUGUACCGUCCAAAGGGAUGUACCUACAUGAAAUAAACAAGUCAUUAAGAUAUCUCAUGGACACUCAUAAAUUCGGUUUGAUGUGAACACAUUAAUGUCAUGCAUUAAUUCAACUAUGUGAACAUAAUCAAUUUAUGUAAUGACUAUGGCAUAUUAAUAACAAAUAUUAAUAUAAGACAAGUUUAAUGCUUAAACAAAUAUGUGCAAAUUUUUAUUUAAGGCAUUAAAAACAAAACCAAGUUUAAACUAAAAUGAGCUAAGCUUUAGCUCGUGAGCUAAAGUUGAGCUGAGGCUAAACUCCUAAGCUAAAGUUGAGCUAAGGUUUAGCUCGUAAGUUGAAAGUGAGCUAGGAGUGAGCUCAGUUUAGCUCAGGCAAGAUGGAUUGAGCUCGAAUAAGCUGGAUUUGAGCUGGAGAGAGCUCGUGGAGCUGGAAACGAGCUUGGAUCAGCUUGCCAACAUGUCAUUGCUUGGCUUGAUAGACUUGCUCGAUAAAGUUCGCGGGGUGUGCUCGUAUCACCUUGGUAUUAGUUUUUACAAUAAAUUCGUGAAUGAGAAUGAGAAAAGUUCUUUAGAGAUUUUUAUUCCUAGUGUCACUAAUUUGUUUUACUCUUUUGUAGGUGACACUUGGAGAUGGCGUCCGCCUAAAGAGGGAGGGUGUGGAAAUAACUCAUUUCCUUUUCGAACCAUUUGUGGUUCCUUGGCUUUUGGAAAUAAUUCCGUAUCGAUCAUGAACAAGAUGGUUUGUGAUCUUGGAAAAAAAAAUUUGAGCAAGUGGCCCGAUUUGAGGACAAAUCGUCUUCAAGUGGGAGGGAAUGAUACGAAUCCCGACGUAUCAUGGUUCGACACAAUUCGACAAUAUCAAGCAUGGCCUAAGUUCGAGGGGCCCAAGUUCAAAAUGAAGCCUGAUCUUAAAUUUCAACGAGCUCAAUUCAGCCCGAUUUUAGCUCAAUGAGCUCGUUUGCUCAUUUUUCUAGUUUAUUUUAAUUUAAGCAUUUUAUUAGUUGCUGGAAUAAAUUAAUUGAGUCUAGUUAAACUUAAUUAAAUCAGCUCAAUAAUUUGGUUGUGUUAUUUUUAAUAAAUUAAAAUCUGGACAUUUUUAAUUAUGUUUAAAUGUUAGUUAAAUUAGUUAAUUUGCUUAGCUCAUAAUUAUGUUUAGCUUAAUAAUUGGGUUUUAAUAUGUUCCAGCCGAAAUUAAUAUGUCUGAAUUGGAACAUGUUUUAAUUUGUUCUAGUACAGCCAUUUAACUUGUCUUAGUUUAGGACACAUUUAUUUCUUGUCCAGCCGAAUGUGGUUUAAAUUUGCUGUCAAUUUAAUAUGUUCAAAGCUAAUUAAUUUUGGUUUAAAUGUGCAGCUAUUUUCAACAUUAAAGGAGCAAGCAUGCCGAAUUCAAUGUACUUAUUGCUACAGCCGAAUUAAUUAGUGAACAAGGCAUGGACGGCACAUUAAAGAGCUGCUGGUGCAUAGGGGCAUGAAACGUGAUUAAUGCAUUAAAAAGCUGCUGGUGCAUGAAUAGCCUAGGAGCAUGAAACGUGAUUAAUGCUUGAAGGCUGCUGGUUGGUGUUCCCAAAUGGCCAUUCAGUCAAAAGAUGGCUGAAUAUUCAAUGUUCCAAGCUGAAUUAAAAGGCCAGCUGCUGUUUAAGUUUCUCUAGGUGCUUUUUCGGGAAUAACAAGGGCCAUGGCUGAUUAUAAUUAAUCCCAUUCAGCUGCUCACAUUCAGCUUCUAUAUCUAUUGUCCAUUGGCGUCCUCAAGGAGCAUUUAAGCUGCCCAAGCCUAUCCAGCUGGUCAAAGCAAUAUAUUUAAUAUCAUGCACUCUCUUUGGCCGAAUAUUACAAGAUUUUUCAGCUCAUUUAAUUCUCCAGCUGAUGAGAAAACUUCUAAGAAAAUUCUCAACUCUUCUAGUUGAAUUACAAAGUGACCAUUCGGCUUUCUAGGUGGCUGAUUAGCUCACCUUUGUUUUAAAUGAAACCAGCUACAUGAAGACACCUUGGAAGCUGUCCAAAUACGUUCUUAAGGUUGGAGGAAGCAUCCUAGAAUUUCCUAAAUUUUUCUGGAAAUUUCAGCUCAUUUAAAGGUUUAAUUAAGUGACCAUUCAGCUACUUUUUGAGGCCAUUCGGUUGACCAUGUUUUAGGCUAUAAAUAAUUGUUAAAUUUCAUUUGUAAAAGGUUAGACAUUUUUUUAGACUUUUCACUUAAUGAACAUUUGUUCUUGUGAGGUUGCUUCCUCUCAUAUCUCGUACAAGUUUCGAAAGACUUAUCUGGCUUGUGCUAGUGGCGUCAAUCGUCUUGUUUGAACUUAUCACCAAUCUUGGUGUGACGUUCACCUAUCCAUCUAUCCAUCUUUUCACCUUAACAAUAUAGGAACCGAGGUGACACUUCUUAGUGUUGAAUCAUUCCUGACGUUGAGUUCGUUUUCCAUUCCCAUCCUUCGAAUUAUUUUCUUGUUAUACCAAACCGACCCAUUUAUCCAUCACCCAUCUUUGCUACACAUAACCGAACCUAUUACUAAACUUACCCUUCUUGAAACCUUUCGCUUAUUCUAAAUCCAUUAUUUUACUUUUAUUACUAAAAUUCGAGACAUGAACGACUCUCUCUCGAACUACGAUCAGGCAACUACGUAAAUUUGACUCAUCUACCCGGGCUGGAUCACACCACUCUUCAACAUUCGGUUUUCACACAUAUGUUGACCCUUGGAGUAUCCUAAUUAAUUCAUAAUUUUUGGCCAAACAUUGCUUCAUUAAACAGGGUUGGCCGAACCUUACAAGUGACCAUUGGACAUCAUGCAUUCAUUUUGAGUUUUCUUAAGCAUGAAGAUGCAUUCAUCCAUCAUUCCCAUAGCUGAAUCUAGUCAUGCACAUUAAGAGUUAUUUUUCUAGAAUUUUCUUUUAAUUAAAUUGUAAGUAUGAAAGGCCAUUCGGCUACCUAGACUUUAGGCCUAUAAAUACUUGUUCAAUUUCCAUGUAAAAGAACUUUUGAAACUUUUGUUAAUGUUAUGCUGCCGAAAUUGUGAGGCAAACUUUUCUUAUAAUUCAUUCAAAGAUUCGAUUGGCGUUCCUAGCAUUCUAGUUGUGUCAACCAUGCUCAUUGUCAAACCCGAACUUAUCACUAUUCGUAGUGUGGAGUUCAAACAUACCGAGGUUCCUAUCUUGUUAGAUAGCGGGUCGAGAUUUCCUUUACCAAUUCCUAAACUGAACUAAAAAGGUUUAAAAAUAACGGGUCGAUACCAUUUCGGUAUUGGUUCUUGUAAGCACCUUUAUUAGUUCAAACCCAUUUUCUUCUUUACCCAAUCGAACCUAAACCGACCAAUUUGUUCAUAUCCCUUCGUUCAUACCAUUUUGUUCCUACCAUUCCGUUCGUACCCCUCUUUCUACUUCGACCAUUCCUUCAACUCAACUAUACCUAACGUAACUUCUCAUAGACGAUCGGGCAAUCUACAUAUGACUCGACUCAUUCUCAAGGCGGAUCGUAUCACAUUCUCUUUUUCAAUCUCAUUUUCAUUUUCAUUUUCAUUUUCAUUUUGUUUUUGUUUUUGUUUUUCAAAGGCUUUUUCAAGUUCUUCAAGAUUUGCUCAUUUUCUCUCUUACUUGCCUUUUGCCUCUCUUUUCUUUUUAUUUCGUUUUCUUUUUGUUCUUUUGCUUUUUCUUUCCUUUUCUUUGUUUUCUCAUUACAAGAAUGUACAAAAGAAUCAUGAGAAUAGAGAUCAUGUUUGAAAGUGAUACGAGCACGCCCCGCGAACUGCAUCGAACAAGUCUGUCAAGCCGAGCAUUGACAUGUUGGCAAGCUGAUCCCAGCUCGUUUCCAGCUCCACGAGCUCCGUCUAGCUCAAAUCCAGCUUAUUCGAGCUCAAUCCAACUUGCCUGAGCUAAACCGAGCUCACUCCUAGCUCAUAUUCAGCUCACGAGCUAAACCUUAGCUCAACUUCAGCUUAGGAGUUUAGCCUCAGCUCAACUUUAGCUCACGAGCUAAAGCUUAGCUCAUUUUAGUUUAAACUCGGUUUUGUCUUUAAUAGAUUAAAUAAAAAUUUGCACAUUUUCAUUUAAGCAUUAAACUUGUCUUAUAUUAAUAUUUGUUAUUAAUAUGUCAUUGUCAUUAUGUAAAUUGAUUAUGUUCACAUAGCCGAAUUAAUGCAUGACAUUAAUGUGUUCACAUCAUGCCGAAUUUAUGAGUGUUCAUGAGAUGUCUUAAUGACUUGUUUAUUUCAUGUAGGUACAUUCCUUUGGACGGUACAAUGUAUGGAUGAAGAAACAUCUCUUUUGGGAAUUCCACACUCAUGAAUGAAGAAGUAUGAAAUGCUGGUGCAUGUACGGCUAGAUGCAAUGUUUCUACAAAUUCAUGCAUGUGUCGAAUGCAUGUAUGGACAUUAAAGGCUAGUCCAUGAAUGGAUCAAAUGCAUGGGAUGAUAGAAUGCAUGAAUGGCUUAAGUGCAUGUAUGGUGGCUGUCUCCUAACUUUCCAAGGCACUUAUUCGGCCAAGAAGUAGCUGCUAACUAAUUCUAUGUUGACCAUAGAGCUCCUUGAACAUGUUCACACUUUGAAUUGACCUAUAGGCUACUACACAUGCAUGGAUGGGUUCAAGAACGUCCAAGGGAAGGAAUUAACUCAAUAAUUCAACACAUUGAUUGAAUUAAGUGCAUGCAUAAAGGGGAGAACGAAUUUACUAGGUUCAUGCUGCCAUUUAUGAACUUACAUGCCAUUGAAGUGUUUAAUUAUGAAGAUACAUGUUCCAUACAAGUGCAUGAACGUCCCAAGGAGAUGAAUGCAACCUUUUGGUGCACAUACAAGUCACUUGAAGCCUUUCUUUAUGACUAAGCAUUCAUGCACAAACCAAGGGGGAAGAAAGUGUCCAUUCAGCUAGUGCAUGAAUCUGCCGAAUUUAUGAACUAUUUUAAUACAUUAGUGUGAACGUUUUUAUUAUUGUGUGAACACCUAAAUGCCGAAUUUGAAUGGUCAUCUAUGUGCCUAUAAGUAUUUGUUUUCUUUCAAUUGUAAGAAACUUUUUGCCAAAAUAGUUGAUGAACAUUUGUUCUUGGGAGGUUGCUUCCUCUCAUAUCUCGUACAAGUUUCGAAAGACUUAUCUGGCUUGUGCUAGUGGCGUCAAUCGUCUUGUUUGAACUUAUCACCAAUCUUGGUGUGGCAUUCACCUAUCCAUCUAUCCAUCUUUUCACCUUAACAAUAUAGGAACCGGGGUGAUACUUCUUAGUGUUGAAUCAUUCCUGACGUUAAGUUCGUUUUCCAUUCCCAUCCUUCGACUUAUUUUCUUGUUAUUCCAAACCGAGCCAUUUAACCAUCAUCCAUCUUUGCUACUAAAUCGAACCUAUUACUAAACUUACUCUUCUUGAAACCUUCCACUUAUUCUAAUCCAUUAUUUUACUUUUAUUACUAAAAUCCGAGGCACGAACGACUCUCUCGAACUACGAUCAGGCAACUACGUGAAUUUAACUCAUCUACCUGGGCCGAAUCACAUCAGAAAGGCCAAGAACUAUUUGUAUGUGAUUCACAAUCAAAACUUCGUGUAGAACACUACUUGAAUGAUUUCUUUGAAGUUCGAGAAGAAGUAUAUCUAUCUCUUUGCACAUUUUCUUGGAAGGAGUCAAAAUCAUUGUCGCCUUCUUGUCGUCUCAAAUUCCUUGAUGAAAAAUACUCUCGUUUGAAGUCUCUUCUCGAAUAGGAGUCAUAGUAUGAAUCUCUUUUCCUCGAAGUCAAUGGCGAGAAAGAAUCACGAUAGGAACUUUUGUUCAAGUAGUAUUCGAUGGUAUAUCUCCGUGGUGUGUUUGGUUCCAUUUUUGACUUGAAGGUUCACUUUGGUCUCGUUUUUCCAAUCAUCUAGCCUCACUUGCAGUUAGCCAAACUCAGAAUUUGCCAUUCUUUGCAUUUCUUAAACCAAGUAUUGGAACUCCGACUCGAUAAAUUCUUCUCAAGACAUCUUGAUUAUUGAAAGGAAAAUAUGUUAGAUCAAAACAAAAAUUUAAGUACCUCACCACAAACCUCAUGAUUUCGCUCUGAAAGAAGAAGGAAAAAGUGACACUCUCGCUUGUGUUUUACACUUGGUUGGCUUUUACCUUCGCUUGAAUAGUCUCACACGCUCGUGCCUUUUACCUCUCAAACUUUCUCUCGCAACUUUUUUUUUGGACUUGCCAAGGCCUUAUCGUAGGCUUAGGGGUCGGUUUCAAAAUUGGGUAACAAAGGAUAAAAUAUGAGGGGUUACGGGUUGGCUGAAAGAAAAAAAAUUUCUCGGGUUUAAGUGUGGCGAUGGAAUAGGAAGUGAAAGAAAAGAUGGAAGAAUGACUUCAAGAUCAGGACUAAAUUACAAUAAAACAAGUUUUAACUUGAUUGCUUCAAAAAGAUGUGAAAUUUGAAUGGACUGAGAAGUGUCAACAGAGUUUCGACCAGUUAAAAGCACUGUUAAUAGAAGCAUCGGUUUUAAUUAAACCUGAAUCAAGUAAAGAGUUUGUGAUUUAUAGUGAUGCGUCAUUAAAUGGACUAGGUUGUGUAUUGAUGCAAGACAGAAAAGUUGUAGCUUAUGCUUCCCGACAAUUGAAACCACACGAGAAGAAUUACCCGACACAUGAUCUUGAAUUAGCUGCAAUAGUAUUCACAUUAAAGAUUUGGCGACACUAUCUAUAUGGUGAGAAAUGCCGAAUAUUUAUGGAUCAUAAAAGCUUGAAGUAUUUAAGUCACAAAGAGAUUUGAAUAUGCGACAAUGAAGAUGGCUUGAACUAUUGAAAGAUUACGAGUUUGUAAUUGAUUAUCAUUCGAGAAAGAAAAACGUUGUAGCCGAUGCUUUGAGUCAGAAGUCCUUAUUUGUUUUACGGGCAAUGAAUACUCAAAUGAUGAUAUAUGAUGACAGAUCUAUUCUAGCUGAGAUGAAAGCUAAACCGGUAUUUUUGCAACAAAUCUGCGAAGCUCAGAAAGAUGACAGCGAGUUACAAGCUAAACAAAAUUUAUGUGAGUCUAAUUCUAAUUCUGAAUUUCAUGUUGGAAAUGAUGGUUGCUUAAUGUUUUGGAAUAGAAUUUGUGUACCAAAAAAUACCAAAAUCAUUCAGAAAAUUCUACAUGAGGCACACUGUUUCGAUCUAAGUGUUCAUCAACACGAUCUUUAUCACUAUCCAAGGAGUACAAAAGUGUUUCAAAGGUUUCAAGCAUCUUACCUCGAUAAGCAGAAGAAUAAGGGUCGAUUUUACCUUUUUCAUUUAAAACAAACCUUCGCUCAUCGGGGGCAUAGUGUAGUCGAAUCUCCGUUGUUGAGUUAACCUUUGUCAAAUGGAACUCAAACUUCAUGUACAACCACAUAAACUGUUUAAGGCACGAAUAUAAAUUGAAAACAAAUUUGGAAAAUUUCGUUACCUUAUUCUCCAAAACAGAUUUGGACAAAUUCGAGGAUUUUACACAAGGUAAAUCAAGAGAAUAACAAAUCACGCUUCUUUUCGUAAUGACUUUAUCAACCACAAUCGAAGAGUAACAAUUAAUCGGAUCAAAAUGAGGGGAUCUUUUAAGAACUAAGUCACCAAAAGUUUUAUCAAUAAUUUUCAAAUCUGCACUGGACUCGGUUUCUAAAAUUUUCUUACCUCGCUUACCUUCGGGAUCAUGUAGUGUGAUUUCAUCUUUGCCUAAGUUGAUCGUAUUGUCUUUCAUUUGAGAGGUAUUGAAGUUGAAAGUUAUCUUUCGAUCUUUCAGGAACCUGAAAAGUAGCAACACAAGAAAAAUUCAUAUCUUGGUUAGUGGAAACAUUCCUCACUAGCCUUUCCUCGUCUUUUUCUUUUGUUUCUUUUUCUAACUCAUUUUCACUUCUUUCUUCAACUUCUUUUUCAAAUUUCUUUUCUGUUUCACAUUCCUUUUCACUCUCAAUCUCUUUUUGCUCUUUUUCAUUCUUUUUUUCUUUUUCCUCACUUGUUUUAACAGAAUUUCUCAGUUUGGUUUGGUCUUCAUGGACUUGUUCCGGAGUGAGCGGCACUAAGGUAAGUUUCUUUCCUUGAUGCUUGAAAGAAUACCUAUUGGUACGACCAUCGUGAGUGACUUUUCGAUCCAGUUGCCAUGGUUCUCCUAGCAAUAAAUGGCAGGCUUGAAUAGGUACUAUGUCGCACACGACUUCGUCUUGAUAUUUACCGAUAGAAAAGGCGAUGCGCACUUGUUGAGUGACCUUAAAUUGGCUUUCAUUGCUAAGCCCUUGUAGUUGAUAAGGUCGUGGAUGCUUGGUAGUGGUUAAGCAAAGCUUUUCCACCAUCGUCGUGCUGGCUACGUUCGAGCAACUUUCACCAUCAAUAAUAACUCUACAAAGCUUACCUUGUACAUGGCAGCGAGUAUGAAAGAGAUGUUGUCGUUGCUGCUCGCUCUUUGGUUUUGCCAAAGAGGGUUGUCCACGAUCAUGAAGAUCAUAAUCAGUUCUAGGGACACGCCGAGGAGCGCGCCUAUGAGCAGGAGGCUGGUUAUCCACAUCGUCUUUAAUUUGAUCUCGAUAUUGAGGCUCUUGAUUCAACCGCACCUCAUUGAUAGUAGCAGUCAACGCUCGAAGUGCAGCAGCCUGUUCGUCCAACUAUUGUUGGAAUUUUUUAAAUAUGUCACUAGUAUUAUCACCUAUAGACAUUUUUUUUUAAAACCUGCAAAACACUCAACACUCAAAAAUAAAAGUUAUCAAACCUCACCGUUAAUCACUCAAAAAGAAAAAAUCAAAUUCUCAAUGAGGUCGAAUUCAAUCUUGUGAGUUCUUUAUCAGAGUUUAUAUCAACCAAUUAGAGAGUGUGAACCAAACUACCAAAGAAUCCUAAUUUGCACUAGGAUGCCAAAAACUGACGAGACACCAAUUGAUUCGUGUUGCACCGAGGAAGAAGUUGUGCACACGUUUAAAUCCUACUAACACAAGAAACAAGAAGGUGUUAGAUAACGUAAAGGAAGAAUAAAGGUAAACAAAUGAAAACCUACAGCUAAGAAUCAAUAAAAAUUGCUGAAAACAGAAAACCUGAAAAACUGCGGAGUAACUUGACAACUUCGUUCGAGGUGUUCCCGAUCUCAAAAAAUCACAAAAUUAAAUCUGGAAUGUCUUUAAAUAUUGAAUUUUUGAUCUGGAAAAUUUGGGCACCAAAUUCAACCCGCUGAAUAUUUUUUUAAUUUUUUAUUGGAUUUCGUAUGUUUUCAAUUUUUUGACUUUUUUGACUUAUUUUUUUGCGGGAAAUAUUUUUUUAUAUUCAAUAACAGUGCCAAAAAUAUGUAUGUAAAAUUUCAGAUCAAUCAGAAAACGUUUACCCACUCAAAUGAAUUUUUUUUUGAAAAUUUUUCUAGGUAAAACUGCUGUUUGUAAUUUAAAAAAUAGAGAUCAGUUUAGAAAUCAACCAAGAACACCCAAAACGCCCAAAAUCUGAUACCAAAUGAUACGGGGUUGCGCGCGGACCAAGAUCGAGUUGCCAAGUCACGAGCCCUAAACAAUUAGAUCCUAGAAGAGAUUGUGAUUCUGCCCAAUUGAACACCAAGAUAGUUUUUCCCAAAUUUCGACAAUCUAAUUUCACCCAAAAAGAGUAUGGAAAAACCCUAGAAAUUGGGGAUUUUUGGGCUGAUUCCUUAAGAUAGAAAAAGGCUGAAAACACAAUAAGAACAGAAAAUAGAUUAGAUAAUGAUUCAGCACAAGUAGAAAUAAAGAAAUAAAACGAAACAGCAAGAAAUAAAGAAAGUCCUAAAGAUCCUUGAAAUCUCGAAAGAUUUCACAAAUCCCUUCAAACGGCUCUAAUCUCCCCUCCAAAGAAUAUCAAUGGCAAGAAGAAGGUUGAAGAUGGCUCCCACAAUCAAAAGAUUGUUAAAACAACUUCUAAAAAAAACUCAAGAGAGAAAUCUUGGAGAAAACUCAAAGAAAAUUCUGCUCUCAACAAAUCUGAAAUUUUAAUAAUAAUGAUAAGUGUUUAACAAGGUGGACAGCCAUGCCUUUAAAUAGGCCUUAUAACUAGUCCUAAUCUAAUUAGAAAAUUAAAAUAAAAAAAAACUCCUAAUUAUUUUAAUAUGGAAAUUCGGUCAAAGGUCAUUUUAUCUGGGACUCUUGGACUGAAUAUUGACAUAAAAAUUUAAACUAAGUAAAUAAAUAAAUAAAUAAAAAUAAAAAUAAAACUUUACAACUUGGGCCACUUUGACAAUUUGGCCUGAUUUUCAACUAAGUAUGGAUGGAUUUCUUGAUUGGGCUGGGAAUUUGCUUAUUGGGCCUCGCCUUCAAGAAUUUGGGCUUUUGUGACUCGUAUCACACACAGUAGUCACUUUUCUAUUCAUCCGCGUAGCACCAAAAUGUAUAACGAUCUGAAAUAGUUGUACAGGUGGUCAAGAAUGAAAUGAGAUAUAUCGGAGUUUGUAUCGUGAUGUUUAAUCUGUCAACAAGUAAAAGCCGAACAUCAAGUACCAUCAGGUUUCCUAUAGCUAGUGAUGAUUCCGGAAUGGAAAUGGGAUAGAGUUACAACAGAUUUUGUAUUGAGAUUGCCCCUAACUCCUAAAAAGAAAGACACAAUUUGGGUUUUCGUAGAUAGAAUGAUGAAAUCUGCUCAUUUCAUACCGGUUCAUAUGGAUUACUCUCUUGAUAGACUGGCUGAACUGUAAUUGUCUAAAAUGGUACGAUUGCAUGGUGUACCAUUGUCUAUUAUCUCCGAUAGAGACCUGAGAUUUAUGUCAAGAUUCUGAAAGAAAUUACAAGAAGCUCUUGGAACGAAAUUGAAUUUCAGCACAGCUUUUCAUCCCCAGACGGACGGUCAGUCUGAGAGAAUUAUACAGAUACUUGAGGAUAUGUUGCGUUGUUGCAUUCUCGAGUUUGAAGGUAGCUGGGAGAAAUACUUGCCUCUGAUUGAAUUUGCUUAUAAUAACGUUUCCAAAUGAGUAUAAAGAUGACACCAUACGAACCUUUAUACGGUCGUAAAUGUCGAACACCGUUAUACUGGACUGAAUUAAGAGAGAAGAUUCACAGGGUUGAAUUGAUUAGCAAAAUAGAAGAAAAAGUGAAAAUGAUUUGCGACAGUUUAAAAGCAGCUUCUGAUCGACAAAAAUCAUACACGAAUUUGAAACGUAAAGAAAUAGAGUUUUUGGUUGGAGCUCGUGUAUUCUUGAAAGUGUCACCAUGGAAGAAAAUUCUCCAUUUCAACCGUAAUUCAUUGGGCCGUAUAAAAUUGUUAAAAGAAUAGAGCUUGUAGCAUAUCGAAUAUCAUUACCGUCUGAACAUGAAAAGAUACAUAAUGUUUUUCAUGUUUCGAUGCUUUAUCGAUAUCGAUCGGAUCUGUCACAUGUGAUUUCUCCCGUUGAUGUAGAUACAGUCUGAUUUGUCGUAUAACGAAGAACAGAUCAGAAUUCUGGCUCGAGAAAUCAAAGAAUUGAGAAAUAAACAUAUAGCACUUGUAACGGUUCUUUGGCAUAAACAAGGGAUAGAGGAUGCUACGUGGGAACUCGAGGAAGCUAUACGAAAAUAGUACCCUAACCUUUUACCUGUAAGAUUUUCAAGGACAAAAAUCCCUAAAGGGGGAGAGUUGUAAUAGCUCGUUUUUAGGUUUAAUCGAAAUAUUGGUUUCGGGACCCCAAAUCUGAAGUCAAAAUAUUUAUUUUAUUAUUUUAUUAAGGUUUACAGUAUGAUAGAAUUAGUUUGAUUUGUCGUAUAAUGAAGAACCGAUUAGAAUUCUGGCUCGAGAAAUCAAAGAAUUGAGAAAUAAACGUAUAGCACUUGUGAAGAUUCUUUGGCAUAAACACAGGAUAGAGGAAGCUACAUGGGAAUCUGAGGAAGCUAUGUGAAAAUAGUACCCUAACAUUUUUACCUGUAAGAUUUUCGAGGACGAAAAUCCCUAAAGAGGGGAGAGUUGUAAUAGCCCGUUUUUAGGUCAAAUCAAAACAUUAGUUUUGGGACCACAAAUCUAAAGUCAAAAUAUUUAUUUUAUUAUUUUAUUAAGGUUUACAGCAUGAUAUAAUUAUUUGGUGAAAGUUUCAUUAAGAAAUUUUACCAUUUAAAUGCUUAAUUCGGUAAAAAGGACUAAAUCGCGUAACGCGUAAAAGUUGAGUACUAUUGUUUAAAGGUAUUAAAUAGAUAUGGUUUAUUAAUAUCGAAGUACUUAUUAUGUUAUUUGACCAUUUGAAACUUGACUGGACAUAUUUGGUCAUUAAAUGGAAGUUAUAUAUGUUUUAUUAUUAAGGGUAAUAAUUGUAAAUUGGUUAAUAAAAUAAGAUGAAUGAAAACUAAAUAAUAAAAAGAUGGUGUUCAUCUUUCAUACACCACCGAAAUUAGAAUAACAAGAAGAAAAAAAAUAGGUUUUUCAUUCGGCAACUUUAAAAUCUUCAAUUAAGGUACGAUUUUUGAUCCGUUUUUAAUAAUUUCUACGUUUUUUAGCUCGUUGCAGCUUAAUCUAGCCUACCCGUGAUACGAUCACGGCUUCCCAUAAGCCAAGUCCAAGCCGAGAUACGAUGGUGCUACCUCAAGGGCCGAUCACAAGGGCUCGUGCAAAACAAUUUAAAGAAGCUGUUAUAGCUUUAGUUCAGCAUGUGUGGGAUGAUGUCAAUGCUAGACCUAUCGAACCAGUUAGUGGCCAUUUUGGAAAUCCAUGCCGAACUUUUCUACAAGUUCAUUUUAGCUCACCAAGCUCACCUUCAGUUCAAGUUAGCUCCCAUGUAGCUCCACACCAGCUCAUUAGCUCGGGACCAGCUCAUUAUCAGCUCACGAGUUUAGGCCUAGCUCGGGUUUAACUCAUGAAUUAACCAUCAGCUCAUGGAGUUCACUUUGAAUUCAUUUGACUACUAUUGACUUUUUAAUUAAUAAGUUCAAUAAUUAGUUAAUUAAUAUCCUACAUAUUAAAUUUAGUUCACAUUAGUUAUAUUAAGCAUGUCUUAAAAGUGUUUAUUGAUGAUAAUUAAAUUUGUCAUAACCGAAUUUAAUGUUGAUAUUUGUGUUCACAUUAGUUUGAAUUAAUUAUGUUCACAUUUCUUGUAGGAACGCAAUGGACAUAUGGAGAUUAAAAGCAAGCAUGAAUUUUGAAGGUGCAUGGACGGUUGGGGGGCUUGAAUCUCUUAGGUGCAUGUUCGGCCAAGUGCAUGUAUGACCAUAUUCAAUGUCUUUAAGGUUCAUGAAUGUUUCCAUUCAUGUAUGGUGUGCUAUCUCUUCAUUCUCCAAGGUGACCAUUCGGCCAAAGGGCACUCACACAUGCAUGAAGAUAGCUUGGCCAAUUAGCUUCCCCAUGACUCUCCUUAAUUCAUUCACGCCUAUGUUCACAUGGCAAGACCAUUCGGUUCACCUUGUUCACACUAGAAGACUCUUCAACAUUCGGUUUCACACACAUGAUGGCCCUUGGAGUGUCCACAAUUAAUUCAUACUUUUUGGCCAAACAUUGCUUCAUUUAACAAGGUUGGCCGAAUCUACAAGUGACCAUUGGAUAUCAUGCAUUCACUUUGAGUUUUCUUAAGCAUGAAGAUGCAUUCAUCCACCAUUCCCAAAACCGAAUCUGGUCAUGCAUAUUAAGAGUUAUUUUUCUAGAAUUUUCUUUUAAUUAAUGUGUAAGUAUGAAAGGCCAUUCGGCUACCUAGACUUAGUGAUACGGGGUUGCGCGCGGACCAAGAUCGAGUUGCCAAGUCACGAGAAACUCCUACGAAAACCCAAACAAUUAGAUCUGAAAUGAAACAGAAAAUUAAAAGAUUAGAUUUUUGAGUUUUCAGAUCUGAAAUAAAAUCCCCAAAUCAGCAAAGAAUCAAAUUGAGAAUAGAAAUAAGUGUUAGGGUUCUUGAAACCCUCAAGGAGAUUGUGAUUCUGCCCAAUUGAACACCAAGAUAGUUUUUCCCAAAUUUCGACAAUCUAAUUUCACCCAAAAAGAGUAUGGAAAAACCCUAGAAAUUGGGGAUUUUUGGGCUGAUUCCUUAAGAUAGAAAAAGGCUGAAAACACAAUAAUAACAGAAAAUAGAUUAGAUAAUGAUUCAGCACAAGUAGAAAUAAAGAAAGAAUUGACAGUAAGAAAUUAAAAGAUAAGUCCUAAGAAGCCUUGAAAUCUCGAAAGAUCUCACAACUCCCUUCAAACGGCUCUAAUCUCCCCUCCAAAGAAUAUCAAUGGCAAGAAGAAGGUUGAAGAUGGCUCCCACAAUCACAAGAUUGUUAAAACAACUUCUAAAGAAAACUCAAGAGAGAAAUCUUGGAGAAAACUCAAAGAAAAUUCUGCUCUCAACAAAUCUGAAAUUUUAAUAAUAAUGAUAAGUGUUUAACAAGGUGGACAGCCAUGCCUUUAAAUAGGCCUUAUAACUAGUCCUAAUCUAAUUAGAAAACUAAAAUAAAAAAAACUCCUAAUUAUUUUAAUAUGGAAAUUCCGUCAAAGGUCAUUUUAUCUGGGACUCUUGGACUGAAUAUUGACAUAAAAAUUUAAACUAAGUAAAUAAAUAAAUAAAUAAAUAAAAAUAAAAAUAAAACUUUACAACUUGGGUCACUUUGACAAUUUGGCCUGAUUUUCAACUAAGUAUGGAUGGAUUUCUUGAUUGGGCUGGAAAUUUGCUUAUUGGGCCUCGCCUUCAAGAAUUUGGGCUUUUUUGACUCGUAUCAUUCCCCCCUUCCUCAAAAAGAUUCGUCCUCAAAUCUGAAAAAUCAAAUGAACUCGACUUUCCUCUAUCGAACGAGACUAAUGGCAAUUGAGUCCACUGAAAAGAAUAGCCAUGAGAUAGUAAAUAGCAACGGAAACAAGCUUGUAGUCCAAUCAUAAGCAUAACAGAACAGGUAUAACGCGUGUGAAUGGACAGAUUCAGAUUACCAUGCAAACAAUCUAAUUUACUCACCACUGCCUCGUCAAAUAUUUGAAACAAAGAUGGACAUGUUUUAAGGCAUUCAGUCGUCUCACAUUGUUCCCACAAACCAUGAAUAAAUUGCGAGUAAUAAAUCAAAUGGUAAACAUAAUCGUCACAAGUAGGUAUUUGAAAAGAUUCACAUGGUUCACAGAGUUGCAUAAUCAUACCAUGCAUUAAUCGACGGUCUAUAGAUUCACUCACACAUGCAUUAUCAAAAACAAGAAUCUUUUUAUCAACCAUCAAAACAGAUAGAUCAUCAAUAAAUAAAAUAGGACAGUCAAGCACGUUUCGAUCUAAGUGUUCAUCAACACGAUCUUUAUCACUAUCCGAGGAGUACAAAAGUGUUUCAAAUGUUUCAAGCAUGUUACCUCGAUAAGCAAAAGAAUAAGGGUCGAUUUUACCUUUUUCAUUUAAAACAAACCUUCGCUCAUCGGGGGCAUAGUGUAGUUGAAUCUCCGUUGUUGAGUUAACCUUUGUCAAAUGGAACUCAAACUUCAUGUACGACCACAUAAACUGUUUAACGCACGAAUAUAAAUUGAAAACAAAUUUGGAAAAUUUCGUUACCUUAUUCUCCAAAACAGAUUUGGACAAAUUCGAGGAUUUUACACAAGGUAAAUCAAGAGAAUAACAAAUCACGCUUCUUUUCGUAAUGACUUUAUCAACCACAAUCGAAGAGUAACAAUUAAUCGGAUCAAAACGAGG
Molecule: long non-coding RNA, 67336 nt
Filed under: Gossypium barbadense (sea-island cotton)
Lineage: Eukaryota; Viridiplantae; Streptophyta; Magnoliopsida; Malvales; Malvaceae
Description: long non-coding RNA (GBAR_LNC012417)
Source: RNAcentral